This 60860-nucleotide long non-coding RNA is filed under the name Coffea arabica (coffee). Its description in RNAcentral is "long non-coding RNA (CARA_LNC005250)". The record is from RNAcentral. Lineage: Eukaryota; Viridiplantae; Streptophyta; Magnoliopsida; Gentianales; Rubiaceae.
UUUUUUUUUUUUUUUUUUUUUAUAAAAAAGAUGUGUAAGCGGCUUCACUUCCCAUCAGGCCAUCACGAUCCCGAGUUAGGGCAUUGCUUGCGAUUGGGAUUUGAUUGCCUACGAAGAUAAGUCUUUAUACCUGAGAUACCUUUUACGAGGGAAUGCCCGUCCUCACGAUCCAACAUGUGUUAGUGUAGACUGAAGAUUUUGAAAAACAAUUCAAGGGAGUCACUUUGUCGCUGAAAAAACACGAGAAAGGAGGAGAUACAUUCUGUGAUACAGUCUGAGUCAUAGUAGUUGGUGUUGCAUAGAAGGAAUGGAAGGGCUAAGGGAGCUGGAAAGGGUGCAGAGAAUUAUCGAGCUGAUGGAAUCCCAUGGCAUCUUGAACCCCAACAACAACAUUAAUCCUGACUCCAAUCGUUUCCUUGCAAAUUUCACCCACUUCUUGGUAAAUUUUUGCCUUAGCUUUCCCCCAGUUGUCGUCAUUCUUAGAUUUUCUGUUCUCCCAUUUCGUCUACACUCUCUACAUUGAGACUCUUGCAUGUGCUGUCUAGUGAAUUCGGUCCCAACAGGGUACCCCAAAUUGUUGAAAUAAAUUUGUUAAUUUUGGUCUUGAAGUUCUCGAAAUUAAAAAAAGGAAUAAGUAAACAUAAUCCCUUGGUAAUCUUGUAUCUUGUUUGCAUGCCUAGCUGAUAGCUUUAGUGUCUCCCUCUAGUUAGAGCGAAGACGAUGCAGAAAAUUAGUAAUGAUAGGCUUAUGGGCUUGUAGGUUUGUUAAAUGGGCAAAGCCUGGGUACGAUGCUAUUGGAGUUGCGCUUGUGGCGCCUUCUUCUUGGAUUAGACGAAUUCCUGUUGUUGUUCAUGUAAAAGCCGUAAAGAUCAGAACUUUUUUGGUUCCUGUUUAAGGGAAAAGGUUAUUGGUUAGAGCUUGUUUUUAAGUUCAGUUUUUUGUAAGAUUUUUCUGGAAGUGGAUCAGCCUAACUGCACUAGGUAAUGGCCAUUCGCAACGUGUACUGUGACUUACUAGGAGGAUGGGCAAGCUCUUGCAUGGAGUAUAUGAAUUGUUGUAUGAUGGCUUGAUUGUGAGUCAUAUUGUACUGGAUGUGGUAAAUAUGCUGAAAUGGGUGGUUAUGAGUCUAUAAAAGUUAUUUCCUGAUCAACGUGAAAUCUUUGCCGUUAACCAAGUCCGAAUGAACCAGAUAAUAUUAACCAACAAUUUCUCUCAUUAAAGUUUGCGUGUCAUUUUUCUCUUAUUUUCCAUCCAUUAAAAAGUCUCAAUUUGUUUCACCUGUUUGUUUCAUUGUUCUCCCCUUGUGACCUUGAAUCAAUUUGGUGAAGGUUCAAACUUGCAGCGAGCUUGACAUGGAAAUCAAGUGCCAACUGAUUUCAGAGUAUAUGACAAAGGUUACUUUUUUGUGUUGUAUGAUAACUUGCCUAAGCUUCUUUGGGUGAUCUAAGGUUAGAGUAAAUGGGAUGCAAGAACUCUGCUUAUGCUUGUGAUUAUCCUUCUGACAGAUUUCAACUUUAUUUCUGGAGGAAGCACUGCAAUGUAUUGGGGAAGAAGGUAAAGUUUUCCAGUUCUACUCUUUAACAUUUUUUGUUUGUAGGCCAUCUUCUUAUGGAUUGUGCCCUCAGCUUCAUUACACAAUGGAGCUGAGUUUAGGCCAUAAAUGACCUAAAUGAAUCUGAAAAAGAUCGUAUGUAUUGAUUGUCUGAAACUUCUGCAAAAUGUCACUUUAAAUAAAAAAAAUAACUUGGUCAAUUUUGUCCUUUUCAGAUGAUGAAAUUUGCCGUUGAAAGGGGCAAUGAGUUUGACAAUGUAUUCAGGUCUUAUUGUUUGAUGGAAUAGACUUGAUUCUCAUUCUGCUUUUAAUGGAAAGAUAAACAUACAUACAAGUUUGGUAGACAUUCUCAUUUCAUAGACAAAAUAAAGCUGUGCAAACAGCAUGAAAACCAUUUACUUCCAAGUAGCAAAUUUGUGACUCAACGUAAGUUGCCUAUUUUACCAUUAUGAGACCUGAGCUAAACUACUUCUUGGAAGGGAUAUAGGGUAUAUCUUGCGGGUUUAUUAAUUCUUCCUGCAAAUGACUUGGCUGACUAUGUUUUAAUUUGUAGGUAAUGAACAUAUUGGAAAUGCUGUGCCAGUACAUUGUGAUGAUGAGCAAAAUGUUGAUCCAUCACAAGACAACUUCCUAGAUACUGCUGCAAUUGGGCUGGACUCCAUGCUUCGAGCAAAUUCUACAUUGGAAGAUUUUGUAAGCAAUAUUGUUCUUUGUUAUAACCAAACCAUACAAUCUUUAGCAAAAGUCCUUUUUUAGUGCAGAAGGGUUUAAAAUUUAUUCAGGCUGUUUUUACUUUAUGCCAUAUAUGAGGAUCUGCUUGUUCUCGCAAUGGCAAGACUUUUCCUUAAGGAUUGUCCUCAACAUUGUUGGACUGAUGGUAACGAUGAACAGUGUAGGUCAUAUUUUAUGUUUCAUAAGAUGGAUGUUCACCAGCCGCAGUUAAUAUUCAAAUACUUACCAAUACUUUCAUUUACAGAGAGUUACAUUUAUCAGGUAACAGAGCAACAAAAUGCAACUCUCUCUCUCUCUCUCUCUCUCUCUCUCUCUCUCUCUCUAUUUUCCCUUACUAUUUCUGGCUUAUAUUCUGCAUUUUGGUGUGUACAUUAACUUGGGACUCCAUACAUUGUUGGUCCAUUUACCUGUACAAUAGCUGCUCACUGACUUGCUCAUAUGUCCUAAAUAAAAUGUCAAGCUUCCUUACAUAGUCCUCUACCCUUUUUCAGAAUGGAAUACGAUAAUAUCAACAAAUCAUUAUGACAUGAAAAAAAUUGCAUUACUUUUUCCAGUAAAUGUGAAUGUGCCUACUGCUUGGUACCUAUAAAUGUGAAAAGUUGUGACAGCAAUUGUUCCAAUUUUUAGCUACUAUGAGUAAUGUGUCAAUUAUGUACCUGAAUAGCAUAGUGAAAGCCAACAUUAACUUUAAAGUAUGGGAAAGAACUCUUCUAUAGGGAUGAUAAUCAGCACAUAGGUCUAAUCAUGUGUUGUGUAAAUCUGCAAGUCAAACUGGACUGAGCAAGUUCUACCUUAAGACAUCAUGCUAACUCUGAUUACAAGGUUUUGGAGGAUGCUUGAUUUUCUUUUCUCAGAUUUUGGGCUAGACAAAGUGGAAGGGUAUGAUAGCUGUAAACAGUUCUUUGGCUUGGUUCAGUUAAAGUCAAGUUUCAACAUGCUGCACGAUUACAAUUAGUUUUCUCGACAAAUAACUGAUGCUGUUAAAAAGGAUUUUAGUUCCAUAAUAUGUUUCAUUCUUGCUUCCUAUGAUCUUGAUUUUGAAUUUACAGUUGGAUACUUUGAAUGAGAAGCUACUUCAGUCACCAGCUUACGGAGUUCAGCUUGGGGAAAUAGAAUCCUAUGUGGUAAAACCGCAAUUUAGAAGAUCUUUGUACCACGUUAUUUUCAGGAUUUAGGUUAAAAGCUUGAUUUUCACUGUCCUUUGGUGCAGGGUUGCCAAACAGAGGGAAGAAGGGCAAUCAGAUCCUUGAAGAUGUUGGAAGCUGACCCAUUUAAACCACUUCUUAUCCUACUUGAGCAUCAAGGCCUUCUCACGGAGCGGUCUAUAGCUAUUUCUGUUAUGAUUUUUGUAGUUUCCUUUAUGUUCCCUCUCCUCCAUGUGGGUUCUUAAAGAGUAUUCUAAAGGUUUUUAGAAUCGUAAAGGUUAUAUUGCCCCCUCCUUUUUUCAGGAUAAGAGAAGAACUUUGGUCUGGGGUAGAGUACUGGAGUCUUGAAAGAAAACUAUGUUGUCAUCCCUUGAGUGGAAGUGAGGUAAAUUUAACAAGUACAUUCUAUAUUUUGACAAAUAAAGUUUUGAGACAUUUUCCUUUCCUUGUUUGACUAAACCGGUGGCAUCAGAUUCUAUAUAGUGCAGAUAUCUGUUUAAUACAUGCAUAAAUUGGUAAUCUAUUGUAUCUGAUUUCUUUAAUUUGAGUAAUAAAGUUCUGCACUUGUGGAGAUUUAUUGCUAUUUCUAGCAUCAUAAGUAGAGAAACUGGCCCCAUGUAUUGCAGCGUUUGUGGGAAAAGAUUGAUGGAAUGAAAAGAGUAUUUCAGGGAGAUGUAAGAAAAUAUAUUUAUUAAAAAAGCAGAGAAAAAUUUAAGAAGUGUUUGAUGGGAAACUUCAAUUUAGUUAUUAAUUUAUUAAAAUACCCCUUGGAAAGGCCCUUUACUUUAAGGGAGAUGUAGAAAGAAUAUCAGUUGAAAACUAUAAUCCUAAAAGAGAAGCUAGGGGCAGAAAACUAUACUUGCAUGCCAAAUAAUGAUUUCUUCAUGGCGCAGAUAAACAUCAAAUGGAGCUUAUAAUUCUAGCUACCAAUACACUUUCUGGUCUUUGGCAGCCUGUCAUCAUUAUUUUGGCCCCAAAGACAUAGAUACUUAAUGAAAGCAACUUUGUUAAUAAGGCUUCCAGUUUGUUCUGAUUUACAAGCUCAGUUCCUAAAACCUAAUACCCACACCAACUCCCCCCCCCCCCCUUAAAAUAUUACCAUGAAAGUGCAUGAUAUUUAAUCCAUUUUGGCUGCAUAAAAGUCAAAUGGUUAUCUGCAAAGUUGUUAUAUAAACCAAAUAUUUAGGAAGAGUAUCCUGACUUGGAUAAGAUGAAUUCCAGUUUUGGACUCAGGGAAUACUAUCUUGCUACUUAUUCUAUUCUUGGAACAUUUUCUUCUCUUAAUAUAUUACAGCAAGAUAUAUAAUAUCAGUAUAGCCUAUUAUCAUCAACAUUCAUCUUUAUUAUAUUUAUAAAACAUACUCUGCACUGUGCAGAGUAGUGUAGGAGAUGUGAUGAGGGCUAUUCAUCUGAAAUCCUUUGAUUAUCGGGUACUUAAUCUGCUGCUGUAUCAAUUGCGGGGUGAAAAGGUACAUUCCUGAUUGGUAUUUGGAAACUAUCUUUGAACUUCCAAUUCUAUUCUGGCCAAAACAUUAUUUUACAUGAAUGUCCUUUCCAUUUCAAGCUAGUUUAUUAAGUCACCAGUUUAUGAAAUUUAGGCCAUCUUUAUCUUUGAUGAUAUGGUUACACGUGUCACUCAAAUACCUACAGUUGCUUAUCUUGCUUUCAAUUUCUGUGACUGGCCUUUUUUAUUGUUUCUUUAUCUCCUAUCUUUUGAUUGGAAUAAAUGCUGUUUAUGGUAAAGAUGAUGAGGGACUCCCCUUGAAUGAUUAAUUUACUCAAACUAUCAAUUGUUUCUUCAGGAACUGUUGUAGGAUGAGUCAUCCACCUUUCAACUUCGUUGAAAGGAUAUGGAAAGGAUUAUGAAUCAAAUGCUUGUGGCAAUGUAAUACUAUUGCUGCUUUACGUUGUAUUUUUCACUCUGGUCUGCUUUCUUUGAAGCUGUUAUGAAGGUGAAUGAAUUGCAUAUGGAAUUCCUAUCAAUAUCAGAGUUCUUGGUUGAGCUAUCCGAUGAUAUGUGAGUAGUUUUCAUGUAAAUCUUAAUGUUUUGUGUAUAAAAAGAAAUGUAUAGUAUUGUUAUUGGCAAGAUAUAACUUUCCAUUUUUGAUGCAUGGGAAGAAGCAUGUGCCAUGCGGUAUCAUUAAUGGAUGACAAUGUGAUGCUGUAGGUUUGACUAUGAGGUAAAUCAUUUUUCUGUUGUUUUUUUCCUCUUAUGCCGAUUAUCCUGAAUAUUAAAGAUUGUUUUUCACUUGGUAGGAUGAUGUGUUGGAGAAUAAUUUCAAUAUAUUGCGCAUGUUUGUCAGAAUAUAUGGAGCUUCCAGGGCACCAACCAUGCUGGUGAGUAACGGUCAUUAUAAUAAGAAUACUUCCGUAAGCUCCGUGUAAGCUUAUUGGAACCCUAGAUUUGUGCUUGGGCUUGUAAUGCCAAAUAUAGUUUUGAGCCAUCCAAUGGCAUUAUUAAUUUUGUGUGGGUGCACGGUGAGUAUUUUUCUGUUUUUGUUUUGGACUAGGAAAAGGGGACUAAACAGUGUCGUUACCCUUAGAUCACGUUGGGGUAUUUCCUUUCUGACCAAUAGGCUAUGGGAUUAGCUAAAGUUUCCCAUUAUGAAUUUAUUCAUUGAGAGUUAGUUAUAUACUGAUGUGUCCAUAUAUGUAGGACUUUUCUAUUCUACCAUGUAUUCGCAACAUAAUGUUAGUAUUUAACAAGGAAAGGAGAGUGAACAGACAAUCCGGUGAAGUUCUUAAUCCAACUUUUCGUGCUUGGUUGUUAUGCCAUGAAAGGGAAAAUAAAUGGCUGUCCUCAUUUGUAGUCAGAGCAUUCCCUAUGUUAAUUGUGUCAGUCCAACUUAGUGGCAAAUCUUGCAACCACAGUUUUUGCUUCAUAUUUAUUGCUAAGCUAUCAAUACAUGAAUUUUGUUUAGAGUCAUCUUCUUGUUCUUUUUCCACAGGCAAAACGUAUCACCGAAACUGAGGAGAAGUAUGAGAACAUGUUGAAAUCUUUGGAUCCUGAAUUGGCCAUGAAUUAUCAGAAAAGGUGUGAAGAAGCUACAAAAGAAGGUAAACUUCUGGUAAAAUGAAAUUUGUUUUGUACCAAGAUCCAUGCAUUAUUUGUCCUAUUGCCUUGGGCUCUUCUCUUUUAGGUGGGAAGAUAUCGGGUCCUUCUCUUGGGACAUGGAAUAUUCCAACCAUAAUUGAAGACGAGGAUUCUUAUCGAUGCAAAAUCUUGAAUGUUAAGCCAACAACUGUAGUUCAGGCAGAUGUUGACAAGUGCUAUAGUUCAUAAUCUCAAUCUAAUGAGUCUGCCUAAAUUGUGUAAAAUUGAUCCGGGACUAGUUACACUUACUGUAGACUGACUUGGACACAGAAAUGGUUCUUGGUAGUUUCCCAGAUUUUAACCUAGAAGUGUUUAUGUUUUCCUGCUGAGGAAUAUUGGGAUUUGGGGGACUUGGAUGGCUGCCUUUGUAUUCUUUUUCCAAACGUUUCCAUCACUUGCUGUUUUGUGGGUGAUGAAGGAUUAUGGGAUAAAGGAUUCUUGGACUUGGUAACUAUGGAAUUAUCAGUUGAUUAUCCGGAUGGAGUUUUGGUCCAGAUUUGCAUCCCCAUUGGAUAUUCAAAGAGAAACAGUGAAAUAUGUUUUCAGAACGAUCAUGAGCUUCUAUGGUAUGACACUGAACAAACGAUUGUCCAAAAUGGGCAGUUUGGAUGGUGACCCAUUUAUGAUGACUGGAUAUCAAUGCCUUGCCAGCCUCGUUCAGCCAAGCAAAGGAGUCGAGCGCAAUCCUCGAUUUUGGGAAGGAACUGAUAAAGAAAACCUCCCAAGAUCCCGCAGAAUCGCUUACUAUGGAAGUCAAGAAAAGAGGAAGAAUUUCACAAUCACGGCUUGCUAUCAAAAUGUGCUAGCUAGCAAAUUAUCUGUAUAACUGCAUUGGAAUGUUUUUGGCAGUGGUUUGUUUCCUUGCUUUCGUGCUAAGCUUUUACAAUUCAACUAUAUGUUUUGUGCUCAGAUGAAGUAAUCAACUUCAGUAAAAUUUAGAAGAUUCUUCCUUUGACAAGAACAAUUAUAGCGUUCAAUUCAUCCCCUGUUCAUAUCAGAAUAGAAAUGGAUAUUUAUACAAGCUACACUUAACGUGAAACAGCAAAAAGUAUUGUUACUAUCAUUUUUUUGCCACGUCCUGGUCAUUGUAUUAUUAUAAUACUUCAGAGGGAUAAUUUCAGAAACCUCCCCUGAAGUUUUUAACAAUGGCAGAGACCUCCCCUCAAGUUUAUUCAAUUACCCUUACCUAUCUUGCUUUUACUGUUUAUAUAAUAAUAUAGAUACAAAAGGCUAUUUUUUUUUCUCAAAAAUCCUGAACUACCCUUUUUGUACAAAAAUAAAAUAAAAAUUAUUUUGCCAAUUAUUUUCUUAUAUAUUUCAACCAAACCCGCUAUACUAACAAACUAGCCUAGCAAAUAAUCUAAUUCCAAAUUCUCAACCUAACCAAUUCCAUUAUCAUAGGCAUGGAUGGGAUUAAUCAAGUUUAAAAGAAGGAAUGCAUCAUUAUGACUAUAGAGAUCUUCAAGAAAUUCAUUUUGCCAAAAAAUUAAAAUUUUAUUUACAACUAAUCACACCGCAAACUUCAAACCCAAUGUCCACAUAUUUUCAAAACAAAAUGAUCUUUUUAACUAUCAAAUCUCCAAACAUGUUAACAUCUUAAAUACAAAGAAAAAACUCCAUCUCUAUAAUGAAAUCACAACCAACAAUUAUCAAGUAUAAAAAAUAUAUAUAAAUGUACUUAUUAACAUCUUAAAAAGUUUUUUGAAUGGAUGAUAGACAAAUUAACAAAUUUACCAAUUUCAGCCCCUCUUCCUCUUUUGGGCAAUGAUUGCAUUAAUUGUUCCAUUAUUAUUGUGUGUCUCUUCAUCUCCUUUUAGUUUGACAAUGAAAUUGAAUUUUACUUCAACCAUCAAAUCUAAUCCCUCAACUAAACUUGUGAUCUGGCAAUUCUAAAGAAAAGAAAGGAGGAAUAGGAAUAUAUAGUAGAGUUUGAGGGAUCACUUGUGGUAUGAUUUGUUGCAGUUAUAGACAAGGGUUGGUAGUAAUUUGAGAGCGAGUUAUAAGAUAAAGGGGUUGAUGGAUGAGAACGAAGUGAUAGUAAGUGAGAGAAAAUCAUCGUUAAUUGUAACUUGUAAAUAGGAUAACCGAAGAGAUUAGGUUUCUUAUUCUUUUUUUUUAAUCUCAUUUCAUUAUAUUGUGAAUUAUUUAUUAAGUGAAGGUCAUUGUAAUCAUUUUAUUGUGAUAAGGGAGGUUAGUAUAAUUUGUCAAACUUGAGGGGAGCCGAGUGAAAUUAUCAUAAACCUCAGGGGAGGUUUGUGAAAUUAUCCCUACUUCAUAUUUAAAGCCUCAUCAACCUGACAGACGUAAUUUUCUUCAUCAAAUAAUUCUCAUUUGAUGGAAAUGCCUAGAUUAUAUGUCUAUUUCAUGGUAAACAAGUAGUUUAUUGAACCCAGGAUUCAUUUUUAUUUAUUCAUCAUCAAGAAAUGGCAACCGUUUAUUGGCACGGAAAGGGUUGAUUGAGUUUCUGGCUCUUUUUUUUUUUUUCUCUUUUGACCGAACACGAUAGAAUCUAAUUUAGACCUACUCUUAUUCUAUGGUAGGGGAGGGGGUGACUCAAAGCCCAAGUAGAGCCUUAAGACUCUCUUGGGAUAGUGGAAACAGCAAAUGUAGUUGGUUGAUUGAGUUUCUUUCUAGAGUAGUUGGUUGAUUGAGUUUCUGGCUCAAGCUGGUAUUGUUUUCAGUUGGGUACAUUUGCUGUUUCCACUCUCUUUUUUCCGGAAUCUUUUUUCCCCUGGGCUCAUAUUAUGUGAGGCCAGUGAUCAUCAUUUAACUAAAGUAUAUCCAGUGGCUUCUUCACAUAUUUCUUGAUUUAAAAACUAUAAUGGAUGGGGUCAUAAGGGACUGAACCCUGCUCUUGAUCAUCCAUGUUCUGCUAUUUGGACUUAUCCAAAAGGCAUCUUUCAGCACCAGAAUGACCAGGAGAGACCAAAUGCAUGCAACAAGCCUGUAUAGUGAUGCGGCUGUGAAGCCUGUGAUAUAAUGAAUCACAGGUUUCGAAUCUUCUCCUACCAUUUUGGCUUUUUGACAUGGCCAACGCUGCAGGGAGCCACGUUCCUUAUCUUUUCUUUGACUUGUAAGGUUCUAUCGGCUGUUUGUACAUGCAAGUUUAUAAAGUUCCAUGUAGAUAUGGACAUACAAACUCUCUCUCUCUCUCUCUCUCUCUCUUCCUUUUGGGUCAAGUGACGUGGGUUCUUGAAGAGCUUAGAAUGUAAUCCAUGGAUUAGGUUAGUCGACUAUCAUCUAGAUUUGGUAUAAUUCUCAUCACUUGUAGCCUCCAAUAUUCAUGUGGUACCAGAUGGGUACAAAAUCAGUGGCAAUACGAAUAUGUAGACAAUUGAAAAAAAUUUCUAGAAGAUUUAUAGUCUAUUUGCAAUUAGCGACCAAACUUGGUGCAUCCAUGUCGUCAUGAUGACUAAGUUAAUGAUAUGCUUUUUCUGUCGCAUGUAAUCACCAUCAGAGGUUGAUGCGGUAAGUAGAAUCAUUAAGUUGAAAUUUUUAACCAGCUUGUCACUUCUAGAAUAAGCUUGAGCUAUUUGCCAUUCAAUCUUUUAUAAGUCAUGGUGAUUCGGUCCCUCCCCCCACCCCACCCCCCAUUUAGGCAAGGAGGGUGGUGGGUAGGGGUUCAAAUUGAAAUUGGAUUUGGUAAGUGUCCAAGCUUGUUAGAUCUGGCCUGCUUAGAUUUUUUCCUUUUGAUAAAAGAAAGUUUGGAUGAGCUCAACUUCGAUCACCAUUACGGAUCAUGACAUGUUUUCAAAAUCAUAGGUUAUUUAUGUAAGUUCUUAUGGAUGAUGGUUCAUUGACACAGCACUCAAAUCGAUAGCAGAAUUUGAACACACGAUCUUUUAUGAGAAAGUAAUAUAUUUUUAUCAACUGAACCAACUUAUAUUGACUGGCUCUACUUACAUGGGAAGGUUGUGCUGGGAACAAUGGUUUUUGAUGAUGAGAAUGUACUAAAGAAUCAAGACCUGUGGCUUCUGAAUAGAAAAAAUUGAACAUCUCUACCGUGUCUUCUUCUCCAACUCCUCCUACGCAUCCAAAUCAGUGGACCACAUUUAGUAUAUAUCACAUACCCGUAACCAUAUAGACAUCCUCUUUUGAUUUUGCAGUUUUCCCUUAAACAGAUGCUUCUAUUCAGAGUACCAUCCAGUCUACAAAAUCCCGUGUUUUCUUUAAUCUUGAGGGUCCAUUCCACUCAAGUUUCAUUUUUAAGCAUCUCAGCAUUGUAAAGCAAUCAAAUCACUAUAAAUCAAUGAGAUGUCUUUAGUGGGUAUUUUUAUUAAUCACUUUGAUUUGGUGCAAAUCAAAUGACUUUUGCCGAAAGAAACUCAUACCUACUUUCAAUAAAUUCAAAGACGUCUAAUCUUGCACAAGAUAUCUAAUCUCUCACUCAAGAAGAUUAAACAUACUUUACAAGAAGUCAAUGCUCAAUAUUUCAUGAUCCAUUCACUUAAGGUCCACUGGCUUAGACAAUCAGUGAGCAUAGACAUGACAGAUUUCUUGCGGAUUCAACAUGCUGUCUAUUCUUCUACGUGUAGCUAUCUGGUUACACAUCCUUCCCCUUUCUUCUCAAGGAGUUUGGCAGGAAACUGUAAGUUGCAAAAACCAGUUUGUUAAGCAGCUUCACAAAAUCGAGAAGCAAAAACCAGUUUGUUAAGCAGCUCAAUAGUUCUUUAUUUGCUGAACUCCAAGAAACUCAGAAAGAGGCCAAAAGUCAGGCAGAGAAGAGCCAUUGUAUUAUUGCUGUGAUAGAAAGUUUUUUUGUAGAAGAGCAGUAUCAUAUGAAGCCAGCACACGCAUCUUAUAUUUACAUCGUAAAGGAAGCAGAAAAACUUCAUACAAGCAGUAAUACAAGCAGAAACUUUGGUACCAUGACCCAGAAAAACAACCAUAAAAACUCUACACGCAGUUGAGCACUAACUGACAUAUAUCAACUUCAAGGAGAUUGGGGCCAGUCAUAUCCAGCAUCCAUUGCCUCGACAUCAUCGUAAAACCACAUUUCAACGUCCUCGAUUUGUUGCUCAUCUCCCCAAUAGCCAUCACUUAUUUCAUCAUAAUCAUCGCCCAUGCCAGCAACAAAAUCCCAGGCUAAGUAGCCUGAAGAACCAGAGUAAUCUGAGCAACUAUCCCAACCAUUCAUAUCAUAAUAAUCUACAACAUUGGGACCAACAAGCUUCAAUCUUGGGAAUUUCUUCACAAAGUUCUCAUCAAGAUUUACAUUGAAACACCCUCGCACAUCCAGUAGUUCUAGCUGUCUGCAGUUUGUAAGAAUCUCAAUCACACUGCUUGUGCUUACAAGCAGGUAAGCAAUCUCAAGAUGCUUGAGUUUGGGCAUUGUUGAUGCAAUGGCAAGUGCUUCAUCAUCUUGGGAGAGUUUGUCAAUCACCUCUAGUGGGUGCAUUAUUCGACGUAACCCUGUGAGAAAUUUGCAGUUCUUUCCUAUUGCUUCGAGUGCUUCUGCUCCGAUCUUUAUGCAGUAGCUCAAAUCCAGAAAAGUUAAAGUCGAGAGCAUCGCUGCAACUUGUUCCACUAUUGAGUGGCUAAUUUGACUUCUUGGCAAUCGCAGCGUCUGUAAACAUUUAGCACUUGCAACCACACAAAAAGAAAUGUCAAGAGACCCUUCUACAUCAUAGUGCAACACAAAAAAGCUUUUUGAAAAAACUAAGAGUUAAGGGCUCUUGCCCAGUACUCAGAUUUCAAUUGUCAAAACACUACCUUGAUUCUUCAUAUAAAGCUGCAGCUUUUUGUGAAUUUUAACAACUAUGGUCUGCCUUGGCUAAAAGGGUACAACAUUAGGGGGAAUAAUGUGAGAGUAACAAUUACACAUCCACUAAUGACGGCUUAUCUCUGAGACUCCAAAACAACGAGUUAUGACUUCAUUACACAUAUCAAUUGUUCAAGUAUGUUCACCUUCUUGCAAUUCAGUACCACUUGCAAAUUGACACCCAGUGCUAGUUUUGAACUCUCUUAAAGGAUUGAGAAACUAAUAUGGUCAAAAAGAAAAAGACAGAGCACAGACAAACAUUUAAGCAGGACAUUAGAAUUCAGAAUGUCUAACUACUAGAACCCAUUUUGGAGAUUCACAUGCAGUCAACUAUGUCUCAGCUCCAGAAGAACCAAAAGAAACUACAAUACAUUUUUGCUGGUGACUAAAAUAAGUUGCACUCUGAAAAUUUUUGCCUUCUGAAUCAAGUGUGGAAACAUGGUAAACUGGAUGCCAUUCAAUGAUGAACAUUGUAUUGCAAAUGCAAGAAUAUAAAUACAGUGAUUGGUUACUCACUGGUUAGCGAUAUAUGCAAAGCUCAGAUCAUUGGAGAUGCCAGAAACACAUAGUUUGCGAAACGAACCACAGCUUCUCGUGAUGAGCAACUGCAGCAUUUGAUCGAUGUUUUCAGGACUACAGUGCUGGCUCCAUUCCUCAAUGUCAAUCUCUUGCCAACAAUAAGGCCCCAUAACUGCUUUCCUCCAUGAUUUGCAAACUCCAGGAACCACAGUAAGUAUCUCCAGAAGGGAGAGAUUUCUGAAUAUUAAACCAAGUGUAUCAGGUAUCAGUUCAUCCCACGGUCGAAAAUCACAUCCCUCCUCCAUUCUUUUCACAGUCAAACUACUGCACAACACAGCAAGGUAAAGGAUUCCAAUCUUUUAGUCCGACCUGAAAAUCAAAAGUCUACAUUUAGAGUCACUAAAAAAGCACCUAAAUUCGGUUUACGCGACAAGUAUUUACAUGGUCUAGAACCCCAAAUAAAUCCAAUUGAAGAUCCAUGUGGUCUUCUGGACUUACUCUAUUUCACCCAUUGAUGCCCACAAGUGGCAAGAUUCCAAGGAGCUUAGAUUUGGGCAGGAAAAAGUAUAUGAAUUCAGGAAUCAUGAUGCAUGUCACAUGCAGAGCUUCUAAUCAUUAGCAAAUCUGCAGAUUAAUUCCAAAAGGGAAAAUUAGAAUUGCAGAUAGAAAGGUAAAAAAAUAUAAGAAACAGAACACAGAGUGACAGACAUUAAAACCAGUACACAGGCGGCAAAAAAAGAAAAGCCACCACCUUUGCAGAAAGAACUCAGGACAACAGGCUAAUAGUCCUGGAGAAAGAUGAUAAAAAUUCAACACCGGAUGACAAUACAAACCAUGUCAAGAACUAAAUUUAACCAGAGAAGCUACUAAAUUUAAUCAAUGCCUACAUCGGCAAUAACAAAAUUUAUGGAAAUGGAAGAAAACCUCUGAUUACACAAAGCAAUGGAGAUUGAUUAUUUUUCACAUGGAUUUUGUACGAACUCACUGAUACGAGGAUCAUUUUCAUUGAGAGCAGCAUGAAAUGUUAGGCACUUAGGCCCUGAAUGAUACAUUGGGAAAAACAAAAAAAUAAAUAAGGGGUUCGGCUAAAAAGAGCAGGAAACACAUGCCAAAGUAGGAUAUGGAUCUGUGAGGAGACCGCUUUAUCCGCCUAAAAUGCAGGGUGGUUUUAUAUCUUUACAAAGACUCUUCUUUUUCUUCCUCUGAAUGUGAGAGAGAGAGAGAGAGAGAGACUAAAACAGAGCAAACAAGAAAAUAUGAAAAAACACUCGGAUAUUCUACCCUUAAUACCUUCGUUUUAAAGAAAGUGAACAGUAAAAAAAUGAGGCAAUAUCUACAGAUUUCUUGAUGGCCCUUCAGUUAAAUGUUUGAUGAGGCUGAUUCUAGGCAAGUUUAUUGCUUUUGUUGUGAAAAUGGAUGGUCUAGUAUUUUACUAGCAUAAUUGCUAUCAAUGUUCUGGCCCUUGUGGACUCAAGAGUGGCAUUUUUCCUUUUUCCUUUUUUUUUCCCUUGCACGUUUCUUUUUCGUCCUCUUUCUUUGUCUUUUCAAUCUCCUUUCCUGUUUUUAGCCAUGAGUUUUGUCACAUCAAUUCCCUUGAUGAGGAAAGAUUUACAGGAUCUUCCAGCUAAGAGGGGCAGUAAAUGAAGAAGUGAUUGCUAAGCAAAGAAUCUCCGGUGACAGAAUUUGCUACUGCUCCUGCUUCUGCUGUUAAUUGUUAGCACUUUAGUACAAAGUUCUGUAUCCCUUUCAUUUGCCACAUAGAAAUCGCCUAGAAUGAAAAAGUCUUUCGAUUUGUCCAUUUCAUUCUUAUGUUUAAUACAGAUUUUUUAAGUUGAAAUAAAGGUCUUUCUCCUCCAAAGCUCAUUCUAAUUUUUUUUUAUAAAAAAUGUAAUCCAGUCAUAAAAUUCUAAGAAAAACUCUUUUUGACUUGAGAAAAAAUAGCGACAAUUUUACUUUUCUUUUUUUCUCCGUUAUGUCUUGUUGUUACUUGUUAGCAUCCAAGUACUUGGAAUUUUGUUGUCAUGUUGUUUGUAGAAAAUUGGUAACGUUUGACAUUUGGAUUAAUUGCAAUUUGUGUUUAGAUUGAGAUGGCAAAGAAGGCCUAACAUAACACAACACAACAUCAUUGUCUGUUUUCAAUAAUCUUUCAUUGGAGGCAAGCUUGCAACCAAACAUCCAAGUGAGCUGAGAAUGCCAAUUGAUGGUUGUUGGAUGUGUGACCAAUUCAUUUAGCUGUAAUGAUAUGGUUGAGUUCAAUUGUCAUUUUUCAUAAUUUGUAAGUAAUGACAAACUUAAGGGGUCUCAACUGUGAAGGGUGAGCCUCAGCCUCACUGUAUAGGGUUACAGUUAAAGGUGCCUCGCUACCAUGAGUUUCAGUUCAAAUCCACUGUAAAGCUCCCACUGGUUUUUUUUUUUUUUUAAUCCCAUUUAUGUGAGAUUCAUAAUCACUAAUUAUGGCCGGAGUAAGUGUAAAAUUGUUUAGUUUAACCCCUUUUGCCAAAUUUUACUUCAAGAGUAGAAAGGAAAAAAUGUCACUUCAAUUUGCUGUUUCCUUUUCUUUUUCCUCUUCUAUUUCUUGUCUUAAUAGGACUAGUACUAUUUUUCUUGACAGAAACUGGACCACAAAAUUUAGACGUUGUAUCCACCAAUCCAAAGUCAUCAGUGUUUUGAAAACUAGGCAUGUUUUACUACCAGUCUUCCACCACCAAGUCUUCUUCAAUUUUUGAGAUUUUGAGAAGCUAAAGAAAUUUUUUGCACCUUGAUGGUGGCUUCUGAAGUUGCACAGUUUAGAUUGCCAUUUUUUUCUGAAAUAUUUUUAUGUUUUCUGUGAACACAUUUAGAUUUUUCUGUAAAAACUCUAGAAAAUAACAAUCCAAACGGAUAAAAAGGACAAAUGCGUUAGAGCUUUUAUCAAUAUCAUUUGUGUCUCUAAUAAAACAAUCACAUGCAAAUUAAUCAGUAUUGUUAUUGGAUUAAACUUAUGGAACAAUUUAUCAAGUGUAAUAUUUCGAGAAAAAAUGUAAUAUAUUUCAAGAAAGGACUGUUUGAACAAAAGGUUGAGAGCCAAGCUAGAGGCUACUCCACCAAAUUCAUAUCAAGAAAUGUGUUAUUUUCGCUCCAAAUGCUGACAUAGUUUUAUGCUCAAAAUGUUGUUAUUUGUCAAGAAUUAAUUUUAAAUACACUGACAAUAUACGCAUUAUCCUGCUUGGAUGGAUGUCAUUUCUGAUCAAUUUGAAUUUCAAAUCUAUAUUUUAUAUAUGUGGUAUUCAUUUAACCGUAAUAAUGUAUACAAGAUUUAUUCAUGGGUCAAUAACGACAAUAUAACUUAUCACUUUCAUAUAAUGUGGUCAGAGUCUAGUAUUUCUAUCAAAUGAUAUAUUUACGGUAUCCUACCUACCUAUCGUGCAAGAAAAACAGAAAAUGUGCAAGUCUUAAUUUGGUGUUAUCUUUUUUCCUGAAAUCUUUAUUAUUUAGAAGAAAGUGGAACAUUUUCAUUUAUGAAAAGAAACAAAUUAAAGGGGUUAUUGAACCUUUUACUGAUAUUACAUUUAUUUGCUAAGCGAGUUAAGAAAAGGUUACAGUAACGCAAGACGACAAUGGUAUUUAGCAAUUCAAUUUGGGCCAUUGAUCUUCUGUUUUUGGGCUUGGAGUAUACCGGUUUGGUUCUUCUCCGUCUCAGAUGUUUAUAGUAAAAUUUUAUAUUCAACCCAAUCCAUUGAUGAUAAUAGGACCAAUCGUCUAUAAGCUCCUCUUUAUUAUUAUUAUUAUUAAUUAGGGCAAAUUUCCGUUUGGCCCUUGAACUUUUAGUUUAGGUAAAACUUAACCCUUCAACUAUUAAUAAUCAGCUUUUAGCCCUCUAACUUGUAAAAUAGGGAAUCCGUGGUGCUUUUGGCUAGUUUAUCCGAUUUUACAACUGGAAAGACAAAUCACGCGAAUGGCAGUAUAUUUUAUAGAAGGGUCUUUUUGUCUGCACAAAAACAAGCAAAAAGUCAACGAUGUAUAUCGUAUCCCCAAUCAACCCAAAUCCCUAAUAGAUCUCAACACACGAAUUGCAGAGGGAAGGAAGAGAAAUGUUUGUCAAGAGCAAGCAAGAACACGCAAAUAUCAUAGCCCUCCCCUUCCUAUUUGUCUCUACGGUCAAGUCACAAAGAUGAUUAUUUCGUGGACUGAUAGAAACCCGAGGAGAAAGUACUGUUGAGAAAUGCCAACUUUUCCUACAGAUUUUAUCAGAUUGAGUUUGAUAUCAAAAUAAUUUAGUUAUUAGAAAAAUAAGAAUAUUUGUUAACCAAAGAUCAUGUUGGUUUGUUAACAAAUAUUUUAGCUAAGAUUUGCUAGUAGAAGAAUAUUAUAUUUUGUUGAGAUUUUUAGGAUAAUUGUUAGUUGAAUAUUUUGCUAGUUUGUUUUAUAUAAUCACUAUAAAUAGUGAGUUGAUUAAUGUAGAACACAAGCUCAUUUUUCAUCUUUAAUACAAGUCUCUUAUAAGUUUUUUUUGCAACACUAAAGUGUUGUUUCUUAGUUUAUGCCCCAAAAAACCAACAAAGUGGUAUCAAUAUCCUAUAUCUUAAGGACCUGAGUCUUUUUUUUAGAGUGAUGCAUUGGUGAGGAUCCUUUAUAAGUUCAAAGCUAUGACAGGAAAGAACUUUUUGUCAAAUGUUUCAAUUUUUAGUGGUGAAACUUACCAAUUUUGGGCCAUAAAAUUUUGGACUUAUUUGGUAGUCAAUGAUCUACAAGAUAUGGUGGAGACGAAUUUUGUUUCACCAGCAUUUAAAGAACUGAUGGAUACACAAAUUAGAGACCACAGAGUUGCAGUUAGACAGAGAUCCAAGGCCAGCAUUCACAUUUCAGUUUUUGAUGCCAUUUUCCCAAGGAUAAUGGCUAAUGAUUUGAUUGAGAAUAAAUUAUUCUCAAUUAAAAUAAAAAGAAAAAGUUUCACUAUGAAUUGGUUAGAUUUUGACAAUUCUAAAGUGGAACAUGAUAAUGAAAUCAAGAAUUCAGAUCCUGAAAAAAUUCAGGAGGAGAUCAUUGAUAAGUCAGGACGUAUCAAAUUGAUUCCUGAUAUUUAUCAAGAUUAUAAUAUUACUGUUUUUGAGUCUACAGAUUUUGAUGGUGAUGACAAAGUGAAGAACCAUGCAAAAUUUCAUAUUUCUGUAUAGGUUCAAAUAUCGUCAAAGGAUGUUCCACUUUAAACCUAUGAGAAGGUUAUUUGGAAACAUUAAAAAAAAUCAUCUUUUAUUUGGUGUAUGACAUGAGAAGACAAAAGAAAUGAUUUGUUGCAAGACUAAUAUUUAGCUUGCAUAAAAACCUAAAAGAAGAAGUUCAUUGCAAGGCUAAUCCUUAGUUGCAGAACCUCUUACAAAAGCCUUGUUCAAAACAAGGUUCAAAAAUUUGAGAAUACAAUUGAAAAUCUGCAACAAAAGUGGCAAGGAGGAGUGUUGAGAUAUGCCAACCUUUCCUACAGAUUUUAUCAGAUUGAGUUUGAUAUCAAAAUAAUUUAGUUAUUAGAAAAAUAAGGAUAUUUGUUAACCAAAAAUCAUGUUGGUUUGUUAACAAAUAUUUUAGUUAAGAUUUGCUAGUAGAAGAAGAUUAUAUUUUGUUGAGAUUUUUAGGAUAAUUGUUAGUUUGUUUCAUGUAAUCACUAUAGAUAGUGAGUUGAUGAAUGUAGAACACAAACUCAUUUUUCAUCUUUAAUACAAGUCUCUUAUAAGUUUUUUUUGCAACACUAAGGUAUUGUUUCUUAGUUUAUACCCCAAAAAACCAACAAGUACACUAUUUGCUCACAAGAAAUUGGUGGGUGUGGGUAUUGGGUUUGGAUCAACGAGAAGAUGUGCCGCCGUUCUAUUGAGUUGGUGCCCGGCCUUCUAAGGAGAAUCAAUGAAAUACAGAAGCAUUCAUUUUGCUGCCUAAUUUGCCAUUCCAUUGUUGUUUCAAUGUCAAUGAUACUCUCUUCCUCUUCUCUGUCAACAAAGAUCCUCAAGAGAAGAUGAAGAGGGGUAAGGAAAAAGGGUUAGUUUGAGAGCUUAGUUUAGUUGGAGUAGGGAAAGGAAAGAUAAUGUACUUUGUUCGAUUUUUACUUGUUUUUGUGUGGACAAAAAUACUCUUCUACAAAGCAUAUUGCCAUUCAAGUGAUUUGACUUUCGGAUUGCAAAAUUUGAUAAAUUAGUCAAAAGGGCAACGAGUUCCCUAUUUUACAAGUUGGAGGGCUAAAAGUUGACUAUUAAUAGUUAGAAGGUUAAGUUUUACCUAAACUAAAAGUUCAAGGGCCAAACGGAUAAUUUGCCUGUAUUAUUAUUGUUGUUGUUGUUAAAUAUUUUAUACUAUUUUUCUUACACCAGAAAAAUUUUAAAUUUUGAAUAGAAAUCUUUUAUACUAUUUGAAAUUUGAAUAGAGAUUAUGUAUCAUAAAGGUUGAGGUGCUAGUGUCAAUAAUUUUUUACACUGAUAGUAUAGGAAAGAUCAACAUUUUUUCCCUUUUUGUAUUUCUUAUAUUCUUUUUUUUUUUCUCUUUGAAGCAUCAUCUAUUUUCUGAAAAUAGAAACUAUUUUUCUUCUUGUAUGGUUUUGAUUGCACACAUAUUGGAUGUACAUUGAGUACUAGCAUAUAAUAAAGCGAGAGUAGGAAUUUGAUUUGGUGUAAACAAUUUAGUGUCAUUUUUUGUAAUUCUAAUUUUACCCUUAAAAUUAACUAUUAACCAGUAAACAUGUAUGACACUAAAACUUAACUCCUUAACUAUUGAUACACUGCAAUUCCUUAAAUUCCACAACUCCAAAAUUACUUCUCCACGAUUAUAAACUCCUCUUCACCUAGUUACACGUCAAACUAAACUGCUAAAUAUCACACAACUUCUAAAAAUCUUCAUAUUUACAACUUCCAAAUUCUCGCUCCAUAAAAAAUCUUUUGCCAAAUACUAUAACAAAGCACUUCUCCCGUUACCACACCAUCAUUGUGUCACCGGUUCUAAAUUUUUUUGGUAUGUUUUGUUUAGAGAAAGAUCGUUCAUCAAUCAAUAAUUCUUUUGUCUUUCAUUUUCCUUUUCCUUUUAACCUGAUAUUUCUUUUGUCUUUCAUUUUAUUUUUCUUUUCAUCAAUCUAUUUAUCUGAUUCGAACAACUAAGGGGCUGCUUGGUUAAAGGGUUUGGGAAUCACAAAAUGGAAUAAAUCCCUUAUUUGUUGCUUGGGUUAAGCCUAUUGGAAUGCUAUUUUUGGAAUCAUUCCUAAAAAAUCAUUCUCGAGUAAAUUGGGAGGUUUUGGACAAAACCCUCAACUCAUUCCCUCAGACAAUAUUUAUCACGGAUCUACCCUCUCUUUCCUCUCCAUUACACGCUGCACAAAACCAGAGUCUUCUUCUUCAUCAGUUUUUCUAUCUCUUCUUCUUCAAUCAAUCGCCACCCAUCACCUUCAUCGGACAUCUUCUUUCUCAUUUCAAAGUCCCAAAUUCAGGUUCACAAAUAGUAGCAAUAGCUUUCCAAGAUCUGAAAGUUUAAACGAGAAAUUAGAUCAUGUAGUAGAUGAUUUGCUUGAAAAGGUUGAAGCUUCCAAGGUGGAAAUUGGAGAAGAGAAGAUUUUAUUGAUUGGGCAAAACAUUCCUUAGAACCAAACAAUGUCAUGAGUGGUGAAGUUCUGGUGAAAUUUUUUGAUUGUGUUCUGGUAAAUCUGAAGGAUCUGCUUAAGUUUGAAAACAAUUUGAUUCUGUCUUUGAAGGAACAAAUCUCAACCCUUGAAGUGAAUUUACGAUUCUUGAAAAACUUUGUCAUCUUCACAAAUAGGCUAUGCAAUGGGUAUGCGAAUAUCGGACUGUUUUUUACUUCUAUUGAAGAUGCUGCAAAUAAUGGUAUUUCGUUCUGGUGUUGGUUGGGAUGGAAGAAAUAGGGAGUCAAAAGUUGAUAGUAAUAGAGACAGCGACAUUUUAACCCUUCAUUCUAAAGCCAUAAAGAGCUGGUGUUUUAUGGGAAAAUAGGUACUCUGUUCUUAUAAAGGAGGAAAGUCAUAAAGAGCUGGUCUUUUAUGAAAAAAUAUGACCAUUGUGAAAGUGACCGCGAUUUGGUUUAUGAAAUUAUCCCAAAAAAAUAGCAGAAUGAAUUUGUUUGUUUUGAAAGUUGUAUAACGGUCGUUAAACUUCAAAUAUUCCUUCCUUAAACUUCAAAAUCUACAAAAUCUCAUAUUUUUGUUAAAUACAAAACCUACCAGUUUUUGGAAUUAUCCCUUUGUUUUAUAAGAAUUGUUAUAUCAGGGGUAAAUUUGAAAUUUAAUCGCAUUUAAUUCUGAAACACUUGUCAAACCAAGCAUCAGAAAUUGGAAUGAAAAGUUUAAUUCCAAAACCAGAGUCAAUGAUUCCAUUUCCAUUUCCGAUUCCAAUAUGUGAAACAAGCACCCCCUAAUAUUUAUUUUUGAACAGAUUGCACAUGCAUCGAGUAUAACUCAAUAACUAAUAUAUAUAAGUUGUUAGCAUUUAAUUUAUUUGAAUAGUGGGAUGAGGGCCCAAAGUCGUGACUCAGGAAGGGGACCAAUUAGAAUUUUGAAAUCCACGUGUGUUGUGUGGAAACGCGGAAACAUAAUCUGGGAAAGGAUGGAGAGUGGGAGUUGAAACUUGGAAGUCCAAAUAGGUCGUAAUGUAUGGACCAGAAUAGGUCCUGUAGACUGGGCAAUAGAGUAUCAGCACCGUCGGUAUAGUACGUCUAAAAGUGAAGCAGAACGCUGUCGUACCGUCUGAAUUUGCAUUGGUAAGGCCACAAAUAAUUGAAGCUUCGUUGUCUAGUUGCCUUUCAGGGCCUACUCUGGACCGAUGAGCAAUCACUAUCAUGUUUUAAAGAAGCCAAAAGUAUAUGACUUCCUUCUGAAAUCGUAUAUAAAUCUAAAUAGUUUCUUGUAUUAUUUGAAAUAGUUUUCAAAAGAAUUAUAUAUUUCCUAUUAUUGGCUUGUUCUUGUAGAUUCUGCAAAAACUGACUAAGAAAAGUGAUAUUUCGUAGAUUUUGGAUUUUAGUUUUUUGGCUACUCUGGAUAAAAAAGCAAACCAAAAACGCCAAAAAAAAAAAAACUGAAAAACCUAUAACCCGGUGACAAUAAUUAAAGGAGGCAAUAAUCCGGAAAUAUGAAAAUAUCCAUUAAUUAACUAAACAUUCAUUAAGUCAUUUCUUUGUGAAGCAGUAUUGAUUUUACCCUCCAAGCAGAUAUGAUACUUAGCAAACUAUUGUUUGGAUUGCAAUUUUUGGAGAAAUUGUUUCUGGAGUUUUGCGAGAAUAUUCUUUGAAAAUAUUAACCUAAUUACCUUUAUAUAUCACAUAUAUCAUAUAUAUAUUUUAAAAAAAAAACAGUGCUAUUUUUUUUUACAAAAACUUUGAAAAAUUUGCAAUCUAGACGAUAUUGAUCAUAUUUAUGCAUGUAGCUUGUUUUUGACAGCACUUAUUUGUUCAUUCCAAUACAUUCCCUAUGUGUGUAGAUAAUAAAAAUUGCUUAUAAAUCAUCAAAUAUGAGGGCAUAACAAGGAUGUCAAGUCAUUUCAUUUGCUGUAGGUUAGCAAUUUUCAGAUGCAAAGAACUAAUUAAAGUUGAAAACAUACCUUAAUUAGUUAAUUUAUGACUACAGUUGGAAUGUAAUAAUAGGUGUCCGAAUGCAGUAAUAUCUUUGUAACAAAGAUAUUGAAUAGAAUGAAGAAUUAGUACAUUAAUUAACUUUUUGGAACGAAAUACCAAAUUUCAUAACUAAAUUAUGACGAGCAUUUUUUAUUGAUUACAAAGAUUUUCUCAAUCAUAUUUACCCUUUAGUUUGAAUUGGCACUUGAUAAAGGAUGAUUGAUUCUUCAUUCAAAUUAGCCUUGUGGACUAAUUGAUGCUCAAAACAAUCAUUCAAAGAUCAUCUGCAAUAGUUUCGGCCUUAAGCAUUUGUAUCAAUUUCGAAGUACAAGCACCACCCUUGGUUGUUUUCCCAUGUAACUUCUUCCAAAUUUUGUGUUUCAACAAAUUGCAAGGAACCAUUCAUUUACAAGGUAUUCUUGUAGUCAAAAGUAAUAAUUUUUGCAACACUUUUUAGAAUAUAAUAUAUAUGUCAAAUAAUUAAUAGAAUAUACGUUCAGAUAAUAGUCAGUACUAAAGAAAAUUGUGAAAAUAUAAGUAUAUCCAAAUGGAGAUGAUAAUUAUAGGUGUAGACGAAUUUAAACAAAUCAAACACUUUAGCAUUUAAAUUUGUUUGAUUAUUUUGUCGAGUUUAAAAUUUGUUCAAAUUUGACUCGGUUAUUUCUCGAGUCGAAUUCGAACAAACUUUUAUCGAGCCAAACUCGAGUAACGUGAACUUUUUAUAUAUAAAUUUCACUUAUGUGCUAAUCGAGCCAAUCUUGAACCAUACUUGAAAGUCUAACAAGUACAAAUUGUUGUUCAAGAUUCAUUUGAUUAGUUGGCAAAUCAAAUUCAAAUGAGUUCUCAUCAAACCAAAUUCGAUUUAAGUAUCAAAUAGUUUAGUUCGUCUUACAGUCCUACUUAUAGUUUUCAUUCGAUAUACAAAUUAAGAAAUUUCUGAAGUUCAGUUACAUCAAAGGAUUACUACACCCAACGGUGAUAGAAAAUAACAGAUGCCGCUUUAAAUGAAGUAUGAGCAAAAUGUAACAGGAAAUAUUACUUACAAGCGCUAAUCCAAAUUCUUGAGACAGAUAUUUCGGUAGCUUCUCAUCUCUUUUUGAAAAUGCAUUUAGCUUGCCAAUUUUGAUUGUCCCUAAUGUAUUGAAAAGAGCACCUUUUCUCGUAGUAUAAGCAUUAACGUUGAAUAUUUCUUAUAAAUUCUUUUAUGUUCGAAUAGUAGUAUUUCCCACCAAGAAAAAAAUUGAUAAUCAGAAAAUACAAUUUUCAACUGUUGUCUAUUUUUGAACAUUUUGGCAUUUACGACCUCAAGUACAGGUGAUUAUAGCAGGUGAAUUCUCUUUGCAAGUAUCUAUUACAGUAUAUAUAUAUAUCCAGUCUUGAACACUGGAACUUGUGGAAAGAAAAAACUCAACUUACGAUAUAGAAUAAUUUUAAAGAAGGAUUAGCUGCAAAACUGCUAUGGAACUAUUACCAACCUGCUAAUACUACCGUUAGAAAUCACAACUUCCCCGAAAGAUUACCAAUUUGCAGCACUCAUACAAUCAAUUUUUUGCACAUUACUCAAAUAAACCUGAUAUAAACUUGAAAGAAAAUUAGUAUAACAAUUACUCGAUCCCUGAUCCAAGAAAUCAAAGUGUUCAAGAUAUACCAAACCUCUAUCUCCUCCCAUUUCCAAUAUCACAAAUUUGGUUUCAUAUUGCUAAUUACCUUUUUACCUUACAUGCAUUAAAUUGUUAUAAUAUUUUUUCUACAAAAAUUUCAGAAAUAGCAAUUCAAACGAGAAUUUUGUGUAUGAUAGCUUUAUGCGUCGUCAUGGAAAGCACUGCAAAGGAAAUGAAAAUUAAAUAGAUAGACAUAGAGGUUCUUUUGUUUUUUUUUCUUUUCUAUAUACAUAUAUAUAUAUAUAUAUAUAUAUAUAUAUAUGUAUAAUUUUGGUAACACUAACAUGCAAAAAGAGAAAUUUGUACUACCAAACUGUCGCAUGACACAAUUAUGCAAAGCUAUGGUACUCUGUCGUCGGGGUCAUGAUAUAUUGAAUGAAUUACACCUGUUUCUUCAUCUACCAAAUCAAUCUUCUCUCAACUUUGUCUCAAAUGCAGUUCCUUUUCCACGAUUAGGAACGUACAACAAUAAAGUAUUAUUCCCAACACUAUUUUUUUCUCUUUUUUUUGCUUAAAACUUUUAAAAGUGAGCUUUUACCUCACUGUUCUGAACAUCUGAUACGAGAAUAGAAGCACUAAAAAGCUGAAGACACUUUCUUCUCCUCGUCCCAAUCUUUCAUUACUGUUACUCUCAUCGAGAAAAGUUUGACCCUAGCUACUAGUACUGCUAGCUAGCAAUCUAGCUAGAGCUAGCCUCAUACCAUAUAGCUGCCCAACAACACAUACUACAGACAUUCACUUCACUUUAGCUCUCCUUCUACAUGAGCUGUGAUCCUGCAGUUUUGGUGGGACUAAUUAAGAUGACUUGAAUGAGAUCAGAUCAGCAAAUCAGGUAAUGAAGAAAGCCUGUGAUUCUCACGUCAUGAAGCUUAUAGUGUGGCAUAUGUAUGGUAGCUUCCACUGACUUGUGUUACUAUAAAUUAUCAGAAUUGUCCGUCAACUAUUUUGUUAGAACCAAAAUAGUCCCUGAACUUUAUUUUUACCAAUGCCAGGUGAACACAGGAUUAAAAUAGGAAAUCUUGACACAACACUUAUUAAAAUGUAAAAAUGUAGAGGUUUGUCAAGAAAUUGACUAUGGAAUUGAAUGAUGUAGAGAGUAAACAAAAAAAAAAAAAAGGGUUUGAGACUUCUACGAACUCUAAUGGUAAUACCCAAUCUUGUUUAACAUGACCUCUUGCUAGUUGCAAUUGCAACAACUGGGAAGUUGUGAGUUUUGAUUAUGGUUUACAGAGGGUUGGGAUGCCAAUUUUAGGGUUUAAUUUAGCUGAAAGGUGCAUUUUUUUGGCUCUCUCUCUGAUUCGCAUUCCUAAUUUCUCAAUAAAUGUCCAGUUGUUUUAAUUCAAGUAAGGGUUAUAGGUAACUUUCCUUUUGUGCCUCUACGUUGACCAUUAUCAGUGCAUAAUGUUUAUAAAUUGGGUCUGCUCAGAUAGCGAGUUUUUUUACAUAAUUUUAUUUACUUACAUCAUCAACACAUUUUUCAACCACUUUUUUAUCUCAUAUAUAUCACAUUAAAAAAGUGCCACGAUACUUUUUUUUUUUUUUUUUCUCAAAACUGAUUGCAAAUAAUCACUACUAUCAAAUGAGGACCACAUUGGUAAUAUAAAUAUAGUUGAGAGACUAAAUUGGCUGCCUAUGAGCUUUAGUCUUGAUUUGGAGUUACACAAUGGAAUGUUGGGAGUCAAAACAUGAGACUUGGGGUAUAAGACUUGUAAAUGUAUGUACUCAUGGAUAGGGCUGCAAACGAGUCGAGUCGAGUCAAGUUUUGGCCUAAUCGAGCCGAGUAUUGACUUAAUUUUAGUGAACUCGAACUCGAGUUCGAGCUCGACGAGCCGACAAUUCAAAGCUCGAGUUUGAGCUCGAAAAAAAUAAAAAAUAAAUAAAAUAAUAAUUUUUUCUUAAUAAAUAAUAAAAUAUUAAGGAUAUAUAUGUAAUUUUACUAUUAAAAUAAAAAAAAUAUAUAUAUACUCGAACUCGUGAGUCGGCUCGCGAGAUAACGAGCUUAAUAUCUUGAGCUCGAGUUCGAGCUUGAUUUCGACUUGAGCUCGAGUCGAGUCGCUUGCGGUUCGUUUGCAGCCCUACUCAUGGAAGUGGGUUGAAAAUUUAUUGUUGAUCAAGAAAAUUUUUAAGGAGUUUUUCUUAGGGCUGCAAACGAGCCGAGUCGAGUCGAGCUUUGAGCUAAUCGAGCCGAGCCUCGACUAAAUUUUACCAAGCUCGAGCUCGACGAGCUGGCAAAUUUCGAGCUCGAGCUCGAAAAAAAAUAAAAAAUAAUUAUUUUAUUUUUAAAAAAAUAAAUAAAAUAAUAUUUUUUUCUUAAUAAAUUAUAAAAUAUUAAGGAUAUAUACGUAAUUUUACUAUGAAAAUAAAAAAAUAAAAAAAAAUAUAUAUAAUAUACGUAAUUUUAUUAUUAAAUAAAAAUAAAAAUAAAAAAUAUAUAUAUAAUAUUCUGAGCUCGAGUUUGACUCGAGCCGGCUCGAGCUCGACUCGAGCUCGAUUAAUAGCGAGCUCGACUCGAGCUUGACCCGCUCGCGAGCGGCUCGAUUCGUUUGCAGCCCUAGUUUUUCUCUUCAUAGGGCAGUAUCCAUGCUAUCCUAGUAAAUAUAUAAUUAGUUAGAGAAAAAAGGCCCAUGUAAACUAGGGGGAUGCACUGGCAUACUCUCUAGACCAAACUAUGAAUUUUAUUGACUGCUGGAUGCAGUUCAGAGAAGGAUUUCAAAUUUCUCAUGGCAGCUAAUUUACCUUUAACAAGUUAUUUAUGAAAAUCCUUUAGGAGGUAAACCUAAAUAAUCUUUAUAAUCAAGCAACUAAAAAUGUUUUGAACCAUGGCCAAUACAGGUUUUUUAGAGCUUGGGCCCGUUUAAUAGGAUAGCAUUUCCACUAACAUGCAGUCACCUAAAACUAUAAUCAGGUGUUAACACCGACUUACACCUAGUCAAAUCUUUGUAUUUUUUGAAGCUUCCUUGUCAAAUCUUUGUUAGCUGCUGAAUUAAUGGGAGCAUCUGUCCUAUGACAUCUUCUUCUCCGAGCGUAAUUUACUAUGCAGCAUUGGACUUUACGGACAAAAUUCUUGGGUAAUUGCAGUUGCAGGAAGUAUUUCCUCCACAUGCAGUUCGUUAUAUACAGUGGAAACUCAUCAUUUCGUCUACAACGAACUACUGAUGAAAGUGUGAAGGAAAUUUAAUAUUGACGUACCGUUUUUGAGGAAUAAACGGGGUCGGUCGACCAAUGGUUUUUUUUUUUUUUGGGUUAAUCACAUUUUAUCCCCUUAAAGAAUACCCAAUUUCUCAGUUUACCCCAUAACCUUUAAUUUUGCUCACUUAACUCCCUUUAGGACAAAAUUGCCCUUGCAUUAUUUUGACUUUUCAUUUACCGUGUUUUCCUUUCUUUUAUUUCUUUUUCUCUUUCUUCUUUAUUUAAUUCUUCCUCUUUCCCACAAAAAUCUUCACCUUAAUGAUUGAAAUUAAAAAAGAGAAAUUGCAGAUAUCUAUCUUCUUCUUAAAUGAUUAAAAAAAAUAUUCAAAUCACUUUCCUAAAAUACAAUUUUUUUAGCCUUUCAAUUCUUUUAAUUUUAGAUUUUUCUCUUUCCUUUCUAGUUUCUCAUUUUAUUCCCAAAAAAAUAUCUUAAGAUUAAAUUAUGACCUGAUUAAUAAUCAUCAAUUGAAAUUUGUGACAUGUGACAUUAUACAAAAAAUCAAAAUUAGUUUUUGAUGCCUUUUAAACCUUCACCCACAAAUAUGCAAUUACAAACUCAAAACAAAAAUUUUCGUUGAAAUGUAAUUUCUAUUGGGAAGGAUGAAAGAGAGAAGAAAGAGAAAAAGAAAUAAAAUAAAGGAAAACAAUUUCAUCUUUUGAUACUUUCUUGAGAAUAAAAUGAGAAACUAGAAAGGAAAGAGGAAAACCCAAAAUUAAAAGAAUUGAAAGGUUAAAAAAAUUGUAUUUUAGGAAAGUGAUUUGAAUAUUUUUUUAAUCAUUUAAGGAGAAGAUAGAUCUCUGUAAUUCUUUUUUUUUAAUUUCAAUCAUUAAGGUGAAAAUUUUUGUGGGAAAGAGGAAGAAUUAAAUAAAGAAGAAAGAGAAAAAGAAAUAAAAGAAAAGAAAAUAAGGUAAAUGAAAAGUCAAAAUAAUGCAAGGGCAAUUUUGUCCUAAAGGGGGUUAAGUGAGCAAAAUUAAAAGUUAGGGGGUAAACUGACAAAUGAGGUAUUCUUUAAAGGGAUAAAAUGUGAUUAACCCUUUUUUUUUUGGGGGAUGCCCAACAACAUUAAAGGGUCGUGGUACUUUCUCAUAUGCUGAUGCCAGACUACAAUAAUAAACGGUUUUACCAUCUAUCUGUCUCACUAUCUUCUCCACAUAAAUGCAAGUCCAGCUUCCCUCUGUACUUGGCUAGCUAGCCACUUAUCAACACGAAAUAAGAGAGUAAACGAGUCUAAUUAAGUUGAAUACAAUAAUGUUGAAACAUGUUUAAUUAUUUUAAUGAAUUUAAAAAUGCAAUUCAAAUUUGACUUGACUAGUUGGUGAACCAAAUUUGAACUAAUACUUAUCAGCCGAAUUCAAUUCGAACAUUGAAUAGUUUGAUUCAUCUUUUAACCCUAAACACAUAUAAUUAUGCCAAUUUUGUGCAUAUUUGUGAAAAAGCCAUAUCCCAAAGUUGAUUGAAGAAGGUAAAUCUAAUUCAAAUGGACAUGGAUGAUUCAAAUGUUAUCCUUAUAUUUGCUGAUCAUUUAGAUAUGUGUAUUUGGUGAUCAUAUAUGUUGUAUAAUGUUUGAUGGUUUUUUUUUCCUUGUCAUUAGCGCAGAUUUGAAGCAAUGAGAUUAUUAUUUCCUAUGUUUUUGGCUAUUUGAACUAAAGUAGUAACUGACAUCCCACCUGUAAAAUCUGUGGCCGAACUGAUUAUUUAAUUACCUGUCUGAGUUCAUGACUAAACUUGGAUAGUCAACAACUCGUUACAUUUGGUCUCCACCAAAAAAGGCUUGCUGGUCCAAUAGGUCAUGAAAACUUUUGGGAACAAGUUUUUAGAUAUGGUGAAAUUGGUUAAAUUCCAAACGAGUCAAAAUGCUGUACUAAACUACUACAGCUUUCUAGUAUUUUUUAGCUGGAUUUCACUCCUCUCUAGUGAAUUUUCUCUCAAUUUCUAACAAUGCAUGUUCUGGAGAAAGAAUCCAUCAGAGAGAAGUCAAAUCCAGACGGGUGCACUUGGUGGUGGUUCAAUCCCCACCUGCCCCUCAUAGGCCCCCCUUAGAUAGAUUAUGAUAGAGUAGGAUACAGAUAAAAUAGUGACGAAUGACAAAAAAAAGAAGAAGAGAGAAGUCAAAUAAAUUUUAGCCACCGGCCAGGGUCACUCUUAAGGGUGUUUCAGUUUGCAGUGAUCUUUUCAAUGUGAAUUGAGUUUAACGUUGUGUUGUACUUUACAUUAAAGAAAAAAAAAAAGGACCAAUUACACCACUCUUGUAUUAUAACAAAAUCUUGGAACCAUGUUUUGCUUUGAUGUAGCAGUACCAUCAAUUAUGUGCUAAUCUAGUGCUUGAUCAUCCUUCUUCCCAGUUAUCAUUUUCAUUCAAAUUUAACUCCUUUUUGAAACCUCCAUUGCUGUCAUGAGACAAUUGAUAGUAGUUGUUACCCUGCAAUGAUUGCGUUCUCCAGUACAAAUUCAAAGGUGUGUUAAAAGCUGAAUAUGAAGCAAGAAAAGCCCCCAUGAACGGCUUUAGCUAUGUUGGUGUAAAAAAGGCAAAAUGGCAUCUCUUCUCAAUUAAGCUAAGAGAAUGCAAAUGAGUUAGCUGAAAAUGACGUGUGCCCAGAGUUUAGAUUAGAGGGAGGGAAGGAGGGAGGGAGGCAAACCUUAGCGUUGUUGAAUGUAAUUAAUGCAUUUUCUUGGGAUGGACUGCGCAAGAAGAAUCGUUUUCAGACAUGAAAGAGCCAAGUCAUCUUCCCCCUUAUUUGAUUCCUUCAAUCCAAAAUCUAUCGCAGUCAAACCCUCAUGUCUCCUGUUUCUACAAACUCAAAUAAAAGUCAUGUGUCCUCAUUAAAUGAGAAUUUUAACGACUCCCUCUCAUAAUAUUUAUAGUGUGCUAAACCCCUAUGGAUAAUGAUAUACUUCUGUUUAUCUGCAUUUUGUUGUUGUAAUAUAAUACAAAAAAACAUGCUGUUUGGAUAGAUGAUUAUUUGAAAUUUUUAAAAAAAUUAUAAUAUAUUAUUGCACGUCUAAUGAAAAGUGAUUGAAAACAUAAAAAAAGAUUGAAAAAUAUGUUUAUGAUUUGGUGAUUAUCCCUUAAAUGCUUUAAACAAAUGGUAAUGCACCAAAAAAAAUUAUUGUAUGUAUGUCUAAAAUUUGAAAAGAGAUAUGUUCAAAUUUGAUGACAUCUUCCUUCUUUUUAAGGGAUAGAUAGACAUACACGCAUCAAUGAUUAUAUAUAUUUAUAAGAAUUAUAGCUUCAAGUUCAGAAUUUGCACUAAAAAAUAUAUCUCUUUCAAGAAAAAUAUGAAUGCCAUUCCAAGACUAUAUAUUUUUCCUGAAUAUAUCAAGCUGUACACUAUCAAUGCAAAAGAGCAGAUAGCUGCAACACCGCAGCCCCAACCUUCGCCUCCCAAAUUCCAACUAGUAGUAUAUCAUAGGCUGCUAGUGGCCAAAUCUCAGUGUUAGUAAAGAAAUGAGCAGUGACUAAAAGUCAUUCUUUUCUGCUGCCAAUCUACCGAGUUUUGUAUCCUACUUCUCGACUUGUUCUUUUCACUCUUCUGCCUUCUUUCAGUACUGGACCUUUUUAUCCUUCUCCUUUUCUAAAUCUGGUCAGCCUCAGCUAUCCCUUCGUUCCAGUGUUUCUCCACUUGCAGACAUGAUAUCCCAUCCUCUGCAGUCUAUUGCUAUACUAUACUAGAAUCACUACAGUCUCUUCUUCCUUUCUCUUGGAUAUGCACCAGUUAAUUUGAGAGAUUUGAUGAAGUCUCAAUUGGGAUUUUCUAAAUAGAAGAUUCCUACCUAUUAAUCUUUAAUCUUCAUUCCUUUUUUCUUUUGUGGUUUUCUUCAAGUGGAAAUAAAAUGCAACCAUGGCUAUGAGUUCAUUUCUUGCAUCAACUUUAUCUUCAACUAUACUCGUAGUAAUUACAUUUCUCCAUCUUCUCUCCACAACUUCUUGUUUGAAUCAUAAUCAACCUCCGGAUACAGUUCAGGUGAGCCACCGCCCCUGCCGCGCCUUCUUCUUCCUCCUCCUCCUCUUCUUCGUUCUCUUCUUUUCUAUGUUUGUUUUACAGUGACAAGACAUGUCCAGUAGUUUGUAUGUUUUCUUGAACCUUUCCCUUUUAUUUUUAAGGGUUUGUUGGUUGAAGAAAAGACAAGAUUGGGUUCAACACCGCCAAGUUGCUACAACAAGUGCAACAAUUGUCAUCCAUGCAUGGCAGUUCAAGUUCCCACAAUGCCAAGCCAUAGCCAACUCAAGCCAAGACAAAUUACUCGAGCUACAACGACAACGGAUAGUCACAUUGAUUCAUCAUCACCCUCAUCAUCAUCAUCAUCAGUAGGUAACAGGUACUCCAAUUACAAGCCUCUUGGAUGGAAAUGCAGAUGUGGUGGCCACUUCUACAAUCCUUAGCUUCCUAAAAUCCCAUUUCAUCUUUAGUACUACUACUAGAAUGUAAUUGUUUAUUUUCAACUUUUAGCACUAGCAUGAGUAUUAUUAACUUAUGAUUUUAUAGAUUUAUAGCUUCUAUCCAUGGGAUUCUAGUAGAGACAAGACAAUCAAUUGAGGGAAGUUAGAGAUAUUUAUUGUGUACAAAUUGAAUAAUGCAGCCUUUAAUUUGUAUAGUGAUUGAUUGCAGACUAUCUGACUACUGAUUUUAAUGUUACUUUUAUGUGUAUUGGGAGAAUUUGGGGACUUGCAGUAGUACUGUACAAGUACUGCACAUUUUUAUUGUUGAUGCACAUUGUACAGUUUAUAUAAAUUAAAUUGACAUUGCUGUUUUACACAUUAAUGACUUGUACCACUAGUAUUAAAGGUAUGAAUGUACGAGGUGUUAGUUGAGUCAGCUUUGCCUUUGCCCCUCUCUAUAUCCUUUUGAUUCUAUUUUCAUUCGUCCUUCCUUACUUUAUCUUCUUGGGAUUUUCAUGAUCUUUCCCUCAUGUCCUAUGCAUUCGAGGGUAUCUUCUUGUUACAGUAGAAAUUUGGUUUUACUACCUAUCAGAAGGCUAGUAGGUUAUUGGAUAUUUACUAAAGGAACCUUGAUGACACAUGUAUAUAUUUUCCCCUGGAUGGUCAGAUACACAUGCAGAACUGCAGGAUUUCAUGAGUGAUAUCAUUGCCUUUUUAGCUGUAGCAUCCCAGGGUAGUUACCGUGUUUUGGUGAUAUAUGCUAACAUAGAGAAUCUCUUAGAAAAAAACCAGAGGAGGACAAGAAUAGCAGCAAAAACAGUGGUCUCCCUAUACUAUAUAUGCCUGUUUCUUUCUUGUCUCGAGCAAGUGCCUUUGGCCUUUGCAGGCCAGAACUUAGAAAUCUACCAUAAUGGUGACAAAAUUGUUAGUCACGAUGCAUAUUUGGCAUAAUUGGCUAGUGUUGCACCAAGAAUAUUUAUAUUCUUUCAUAUGCAAUUAAACUUCAUGGGAAUUGAUUUUUAACUAGCAAGAGGGAUUUUUUUCCUCACCACAAAAUCCAGUUUUGAAUUUGUCGAUUACCCAAAACAAAUAGACCAAAUAAUUUGGCAUACUAUUUUUUUCAAGUUCAAAUUUAGAUUUUGCGCUCAAAGAGAAAACUGAAGAGAUUCGUCCUCAAAACCUAGCUUUAACUGGUAGAGAUAUUAGUCACGUGACCAUGAGUUUCUUGUUUGAGUAUCAAUCCCUCCCUUGCAAAGCGUGGAAAUUCCCAUUGAGAGUAAAAAAAAUAAAAAAUAAAAAAUAAAAAGGAGAGAGAGGACUUGACUUGGGCUGAAGCUGCUGCUGUGUUAAUGCAACUGUCACUAGGCCCUUUUUGAAAAAUGCUCCACAAAAUCAAAUGGGCUAGUCCAACAUAAAGCCACCACAACUAAUCCAUACUACCUUCCCCGCCAUCCCCCUUUUUUUUUAUUUAUUAAUAAUAAUAAAUGUUUGGAAAUUGAUAUCCAGAAGAGCGAAGGUCGUUAAAUUCGUUAACACCACUCAACUCAUCAGUCAUCACAGCAACCAGCAAUGGCGUCCUCAUCCUCAUCAUUCACCAUGCUCCUCUCCGCACCCAAUCCCUCACUCUCUCCUUCUUCCUCUCGCACCACUCUUUCUACUCUCCGCACCACAUUUCUUCCAACACUUUCUUCUUCUCCAUCUCCUUCUCCUUUUUCCCCGACGGCGAUUACCAGAAGAAGGGGAAAGUCUCUCUUGGUCUCCGCCGCGGCGGCUGGGGCGCUUCAGGCUUUGAUAUUCGACUGCGACGGCGUGAUAUUGGAGUCCGAGCACUUACACCGACAAGCCUACAACGACGCCUUCUCUCACUUCAACGUCCGCUGCUCCUCUUCAGCUACGGAACCUCUCAAUUGGGGACUCGAGUUCUACGAUGAGCUCCAGAAUCGAAUUGGCGGUGGAAAACCUAAAAUGCGAUGGUAAACUUAUAUGACUUGUGUCUAUAUUUUCUUCACUUGUUAUUUUUGUUCGAUAAUCCUAUUUGGAUUAUGAUUUUUGUGUUUUCUUUUACCUUUAUUAGGUAUUUUGGGGAGUAUGGAUGGCCAACUUCAAGGAUUUUUGAGACGCCUCCGGACAAUAAAGAGGAUAGAGAAAAGCUAGUUGACAUUAUUCAAGUUGAGUAUCCAAUUAUUUGUUUGCUUUCACUUUAUUGUUAAUUAUUACUUAUGCUAAUUGCUCUUUAAUUUUCAUGCUCAAUUCAAAAACUUGCAACAAUCAUUUCGGAGAGUGUGAAUCUUUUAUUGUUACUAAUUCUUCUCGUGCUUACUUUAUUAUUAGUUUUUUCAUCAUGUUAACUUCCCUGUGAGCAUUUACCUUGUCCUUGAGCUUGCCAAAAUACUAGAAAAGCGUAAUGCUGAAAAUAGUGUUUGAAAAAGAGCCAAAAUUUAGAGAUAAAGGUGAUGACCUUGUCGUCUAAGAACCAUGGCCAAUAAAUUUAGUUUUAAUAUUUAGAGUCUAAGAAGUAGAACGAUUCAUACUAUCAGGAAAAAUUUGCAACAAAUCCUAAAGAAAAAAAAAAGACAAUUUUGGAUAUCGUGCAUGCUGCUUCGUUCUAACCUUCCAGGGAAUACCUUUAUGAGCAACUGUGUUGUGCGCACUUAGACCCUUUUGAGGUUUUCAGAUUUCAGGACCCUGCCACCAUGGCCAUUGAUAUGAUAUUUUUUCUUAUAGAUGGAAACGCCAGUUUACUUGGUGGAUCUUGAUGAUGUUUCUCAGCUAUAGCUCUGAUGCUGAAAACUUCUAAACCUAUCUUGAACCUAUUAUCAGAUCAAGCCCUCUGAAAUAGUAGGUUGAUGGUUAACCGAGUUAGCACCCAUAUUUUUUAGAUAGAUUGCAUUUUGUAAUUAGUUAUCAGCGUGACAAAUAAUUAAGUCUUAAGUGGAUGCUUUAGAACAAAGGGAGAGGAGAACUUCAAUCAAGCAGCAGUUUUUUGGGAAGUCUUUCCAAUAUUUUACUUACGUACUACAUGACUUCCGUAGUAUAGCUGUAUGGAUUUAAGGCUUAGAAAAUGAUGUCGCUCUGCAUAAGCAUUACAUUGUACCUGUGAGCAAGUACCAUCCAUCACAUUUGAGUUCAUUAGCACUUCUGCAGCCGUAAGCAGUGCUUGAUUUGUUACUUAUGCAUUUAAAAUCUUAUGACUAAAAUCUUAUGAUGUAUAAAUUAACUUUUCGCGUAUCAAUUUCAAGUUCAUUUAAACACUUUUAUUGUUGACUAAGGUGACUAUUUUUGGUGGCUUUUGCAGGACUGGAAGACUGAGAGGUACAAAGAAAUAAUCAAAUCUGGAACUGUAAGAGCUGUUAUUGUCCCUUUCUGUAUUUGUGGUUUGCAUUCUUAUUACAUGAUGACGGUGGCUUUCUAUAAUAUUGGGCAGGUUAAGCCUAGACCAGGAGUUUUAAGAUUGAUGGAUGAGACGAAGGCUUCUGUAAGAUAGAAAUUCUAUAAACACAACUUUAACACUCCAGCAUGGAACUUAGAAAUACGGAUCAUUUGAUCUGCAUCAGAUCACCAAUGACCUUAUUGGGUUCUGACAUAUAUUCUUGUCUGUUCCUAGAAUGCUACUUUCGUAUGCUUCUUCUUUCUUAUCAGAAAGGUUAUACCUACUCUCUCUUGGUUUCAGGGUAAGAAACUGGCUAUUUGCUCUGCAGCAACCAAGAGCUCAGUUGUACUCUGCCUUGAAAAUUUAAUAGGGAUUGUAAGCCCUUGCUUAGAUUUAGUUAUUUCCAUUCAUUUUCUUUUCUUUAAAUAAGGUUUUCACUUAUUGUAAACUUCUGAUUCUGUUUUAGGAGCGAUUCCAAGGUCUUGAUUGCUUCCUUGCGGGUACUUCAAACUCUUUAGCUAACAUGUUACAGAUUUGACUCUGUAUUUGCUAAACUUAAAAUUUUAUUUCUACUAAUGCCCACCUUAUGCUUUUAUGCUUAUUAUCUGAGCAUUUCAUAUGCAUGGUGCUCGAAGGUAACUGGUUGAUCCUCCUAAUUUAUUCUAGAACAGAAUAUUGAAGUUUAUUGUCAUGUGACGAAUCAGAAUCUGCAAGGCAAACCUAUUCUGUGAUCUGAACUGGAUGAUAUGGAUGAUAUCUUAGGUAUUAGAUAUGAGAAGAAAAGUGGAAUCUUUAGUUGCUUAUUUUGGGUUUUGAUAUUGUUUAACUUUUUCUAAAAGACAAGGAUAUAUCAUUGCUUUCUUGACUGACUUCUUGAGGAGGUUUAGUUUUCAUAAGUCGCUUAUAACUGGUCUAAAAAGUUUAAUACUAAUCAAAAUUUUCAAUUAUGAUCUCUUGAAUUACGUAUUUAUUGCCACCCUGCUCCUCAAAACAGUUUGCUGAGGAUAUCAAAUUCACCUUACUGCUUGCAAUGAUGCUUGUUAAAAUGGUUAUAAUGAUUUUUAGCAAUUCUUGUGGACUCUUUGACUGUUGACAUUACCUAGUUGGAGUCCUCGCUUUGGCACCACCUCAACUCAGGUUUAAAAUAGCAGAGAAGAAAUAUACUAAUAAAAUAUACUUUUUUGCUGUUAACUGUUUUGUUUCUAGUUGUAUUUGUGAUUCUGAUGGUGGGAAAAUGUGUUGUCCCUGUAAUAUUGAAGUAUGUCUUGAUGUAUGAAUACUUAAUAGACAAAUACAUGUUAACUAAGUUACAUAUAAAAUGACAAAUAUUUUCACUUCAUAUGCAGUAUAUCUACUAUGACACCUUUUGAUAUGCAUACACUACACAUUUAAAUGUAAUUGUGCAUGUAUGUAUCGAGGUCUAUGAGAAAAGUAGGCAGAGGAGGAAUAGCACUUGAAAGAUAAAAUUAUGAAUUGGAGUUUUCUGAAUACCACUUCCCACAAUACUUUCUUUGGUCUUCUGAAAGUAAAGAAGCCGUGAAUUAGUAAACUUUGAAACUACUUCCUUGUACUGACCAAGUGUAAAGACUUAGAAAUAUGGCAUUUAUUUAUUUAUUAUUAUUAUUAUUAUUAUUAUUAUUUUUUAAGUAGCUGGUCUUGAACCCAGGACCUCCCACUUACAGUCCCUCCCCCCUACCACCCAACCCAACCCUGCCCCCCAACUUUGAAAUAUAGCCUAAUCUUUGUUGUGCAAAAAAUAUUAUGAUGCCUGGAGAUAAAUUGCAGUAUUUUCAGUUUAAUUCAAUUGAUUCAGUAGAAUACUUUGUAUAGUGAACCUAGUGUGUAUUGAUUGACCAUUUUAAUUGCUAUUAAAGUCUCUUACUUCCCCUACUUUGUCUUGGGUUUGCAGGUGAUGAUGUGAAGGAGAAGAAGCCUAAUCCUUCAAUUUAUCUAACUGCUGCUAAGGUUGUCAAAAUGGCAAAAACUUUUAUUCGUUUUGCUUCUGAGUUACCAAUCUGAACAUGGCAAAUCGAACUCUGCAGAAACUUGGGGUGUCAGGUGGUGAUUGCUUGGUGGUGGAGGAUAGUGUUAUUGGGCUACAGGUUAAUCUCUACUUUCUUAAAAUCUUUGAUUAUAAUGCUCAAGACCAGUGGUGGAGCCAGAAAAAAUUUUCAGUGGGGGAAAAGCAACUCUAAUAUUUUUUACCUACUCUUUUUUCAGUUUUUUAAGGAAAAAAAAUAUUCAUCAACAAGUACAAAUGAUGCAUAUAUUUCAUGAAAAACAUCAAAAGACAAAUUCAAAAUUAUUAAUGUAAUAAUAAUUUUAUUUCAAAAGCAAACUAAAGCAUUUACAAUUGCUCAUGAUGAGUUUUCAUAUUUUGAUAACGGUUUACAACCUUUUUAUUUUGAAUUUCACGAAGUAUAUUUUUCUCAAUAUAAGUAACUAAACAAUUAUUCAUCCAAGUGUCUUCCAUUCUAUUUUGUAACCGAUUCUUCACUAUAUUCAUCAUUAAGAAAACCUUUUCUAUAGUAGUUGUAACAACGGGUAAAAUCAAAGUCAACUUUAAAAGCAUGUAAACUAAUAGAUACACAAAACUCUAGGGGACACACUUGAAAUUACAUCAAAUUUUUAUAGGUAUUAUAGAAAUUUAAGAGGGGCAGUGGGGGCCUAUAAACCAAUAGAUACACAAAACACUAGGGGGCACAUUAAAAUUACAUCAAAUUUUAUAGAUAUAAUAGAAAUUUAAGGGCCCCCAGUGCCCCCAGUGUAAAUACGCCACUCAAGACUGUCAACAUAGGCACAUUGUUGAAAAUGUUUCAGUUUUUAUGCUGUAAUUAUCUGUGGAUACCGACAGAAAAUUUUAAUAUCUGGGCGACUGCAUUUGCUUAUUUAGACCAUUUUUAAGCUGUAUUUCAGCCAAAUGUAAUGAGUUUAAAUAGAUAUUUUAUUAGAAUUCUAAAUGUGCCACCAUUUCUUUGUCAUCCUUCAUCCCUUUCAUUGCUUUUCUGCUAACAUAUAAGAUGCACAAUGAAAUUCUUUUGUUGAUGAUGUGGAACCGAAAUCAACUAAAUUCACCUAAAGCCUUUAUCCUAUUUGUAUCCAAUUGAAAUCUUAGUUCAUGGGUAAAUCACAUUUUUAAAAUCAAGAGCUUGUCUAUACAAUCUUUUAAGUUCUCUGACUUCGGACAUGCGCGAAUUAAAGAAGAUGAACAAAAGUAGACAUAAGAGAUAGUAGAUUAGGAGCCCGUUAUUGCCCAUUAUUAUUGAGUGAUUUCUAAGAUGUUGCUUAAAAAAUUUGGAAAUAUGUUAUUCUUUUAAUAGUUACUAAAAUGCCAAAAGCUGUAUUUCAAAGCACCUGAGGAGCUGCUUUUUGGAAUCAUCUUUUAUCAACUUAAAAAAAACUCAAAACAGAAGUCAAAUGGGAACUAUUUUCAGCUUAAAAAAGCUAUAAUCAGUUGAUUUUAUGCAACAGAGAGUUGACUUAUUAUAUCCAAUUAUUGGUGAAUUUUUUUGUAAGGUCUAACUUUCCUAGUGUUGGAAUGAUGUACAUUUUUGCGAGAAUAUCACUGAGCACAAAGUAGAUAAUGUUGGUUCACUCAGUCCGUAUAGUGUUUCUCACAAGAACUGGAAUCAUAGAAACAUUAUGAUAGGAUUUUACACAAGUAAGUGAUUCUCCCUUCCACUGAUUUCUAGCUUUAGUCCAACAAAAUUUCCAUGAGGAAUCGAAAGCAAACUUGGCAAAUUUCAUGCAUACAAAUUUCUAAUAAUUAACAAGCAAAAAAAAAAGUAAAAUUCAUUGUUUACUUUUGACAGGAAAGCUAAUUCAUGAUUUUCAGUUACUCUGUGAUGAUUUAACAUGUGUAAAAACUACAUUAUUUUUUUGCAGGCAGCAACAGGCGCUGGGAUGCCUUGUAUAAUUACAUAUACAUGUUCAACUGCUAACCAGGUAAGACCCGUUUUUGUGGUAUCCUGUUCAAAUACUUGGGUGAGAGGAAUGGGUUUCACGAGGUGCUAGAUCAGAGUCCGUUAUCAUCGGAGAUACCAACUGUUAGUAUGGUAUUAUAUGUUUGAGAUUGCUCUUUGAUUUGAUACAGGAUUUUAAAGAAGCAAUAGCAAAGUUCCCUGACUUGAGUGAUGUCAGGUAAACAUUGCUGUCACCAACUCCAAGAAAAUCUUUGUUUGCACUUGAUAUCCAUUUUGUAUGUCCUAAUGCAGAUUGAAGGAUUUAGAGAUAUUGCUUCAGAGUUUUGUGCCUGCCAACUGAAAAAAUCUAUCCAAUAUCUUAGAAUGUGUACAGGUUGCACUGCCGAUAGCCAGAUUCACAAGUUCGCGCUGUGUGUCAUUUAAGGUACCAUCACAUGACUGGUAUUUAAUUUUGAGGAUAUUGCAAGUGAAAAGCUAAGCUAUCCUCGACUUAGAUCAUCAUUCAUUUUGGAAUCUUUUAUAAAAAACAGACAUUAAAUUGUAUCUCUUCCUCCUAAGAUAUUACACUCUACCCAAGUUAUUCAUCUGACAAGAUAUGGAUCCUCUGUCUCUGUCUGGGUGAUUGUAUAUGCAUGUCCCACAUGCACGUAAGUCAACAUUAUAACAUUUGGCAAAACUCAAAACUCCCCUGUUGUUUGGGUAUCUUGUAUUAAUUUAUAAACAUUGGUUGAGCUUGGACAAGGGAGAAAGACAAGACCGUCCUUUAAAAAAAUCUUAUUUAGUUAAAUUGUUUUGUUCUCUCUUUUAUGUUAUAGACUUUACAUAGAUUCUAGUACCAGUAAAUUUCACCAGGUGCUAACCAAGCUAGCUUGUUGAACCCGGCCGGUUAUCACUGCUCUGUCCUGUUGCCUUUCUACUUACCAACGAUUACCUGGUGAUGCAAUAGAUGUUUUGCAUUUGUAUCUAUUGAAACCGACAACUAUUUGAUUCAAAUUCAUAAAUGUUAUGUCUUGUGAAGGUGAAAGUUGGUCAUUAUGAGUGUCCAGGACAUCAUAAACCUCUUGUCUGUCACUUGAUAUUAUAUUUGUGCCUGUGGUAUCUCGAGGGAUUGGCAGAAUCUCAACCAAAAUCAGGUUUGCAACAAUGAGUUUGUUCCAUACAAUCGGAGUCCAUGGAAGGUGGAUACUUUCUUCUGAUGCCCCAUAUAUUUUUGCAUCUUUUUAACUACAAGAAUAAGAGCAAAUAUCUUCGACCAACCAAAUGACAGCAAAAAUGGACGAAGCUCUUUUCUUUUUUGAGGGGGGUGGUGGCCGGUGGGGGGAAGGGGAAAUCACAGUACUCUAAUCUUAACCUGUUACUUUUUUCUUUAUUUAUUUUUCUUUGAAUAAUUGCCACUGACAUUUCUUUUAGUUUCCGUCUAUGACAUUGUCCAGAACUCUACUCUCCAACCGGAAAAAAAUAUAUAUAUAUAUGGAGAGAGAGAGAGAGAGAGAGAGCUAAGUAUUAGUAGUCUAUUUCUUGAUAGAUUCUGCAGGUUGGAAGAUUUGCGGGCUCCAAUGUGCCCUCAAUAAUAAGAGAGAGAGAGAGAGAGAGAGAGAGAGAGAGAGAGAGAGAGCUAAGUAUUAGUAUUCUAUUUCUUGAUGGAUUCUGCAGGCUGGAAGAUUUGAUACUAAAGUGGUUAGACACACGAUUCACGGCUUGCUUUGACCCAACAGAGUCGGCCGUCUUGUCUUUAUCAGUUUUAUUUUAUUUUCCUUUUUUGCUUUGGAUGUUGAUUUAGCUUUUAUGGACCACACCAAUAAAAUUGAUAUAAGUGACAAAGUAAUACUUUGUGAAUCUUGUCCACAAAAAAUCAGAAACUACAAAAGCUAUCAGCUGUGUAAGAGAAUACAAAUGAUAUUUAGCAACUCACACAAACAGGUUUUGUUUGGUUAUUUUUAAAGAUUUGGUUCGUUUUUUUGAGUUUUAGUUCUGCCCUAAUGGACUUAGAAAGUUGAAAAUUAAAACUCUAUGGAGAUUGUAAAAUGCCAACCAUCACUAGAAGAGUAAUAUAUAUUGGUUUCCACAAACCAAUCAAAGACUGCUAAAUAUAUACAAGUUGACAUUUGACAAAAAAAUCAAGGGUUAAUUCCACUUUGUCCCCCCAAACUUUGGACGAUUACCCACUUAAGUCUCUAAACUUCAAAAUGGGACACUUAAAUCCCUAAACUUAUAAAUACCUCCCACUUAAGGAAAAUUGUUAACAAAUCCUGAAUGCCGUUGGUGGUCGAAGUAUCCCAUUUUAUAAGGGUUUAGGGAUUAAAGUGUCCCAUUUUAUAAGUUCAAGGACUUAAGUGGGAGGUAUUUAUAAGUUUAGGGACUUAAGUGUCUCAUUUUGAAGUUUAGGGAUUUAAGUGGAUAAUCGUCCAAAGUUUGGGGGGACAAAGUGGAAUUAACCCAAAAAUCAAAUCAAAUACCGCUAAACAUGACUUAAAGUUGCCGUCAUUGAACAGCAACUUGUAAUGGUCCUUCAACAGCAAAUGUUUCUACUGAAAUUGAUUAUACCGCUUGCUCUUACAUAGACAGUGAGCUUUCAUUUUAUGGAGUUAUCCAUAUCACCCUUCAUUUGCUGCACAACUCAUCCAGCGAUCUUGUCACCAGCCCGGAAUAAGUCAAUGAUCAAUUGACGAACGUUUCUGAUCAAAUGUCAGAUGAUACUGAUCUCGUAUGUGAUAAUUUCCUCUAUGGUGUUAAUUUCGUCUGCAUCAAUCAUUUUCUGGACAACUCAUACGUCUUUCUUGUCACCGGCCCGGAAAAAAGUCAGUGAUCAAUUGGCAAACGUUUCUGAUCAAUUGGCAGUAUACUGCUUUCUAUCCGAUGCUACUGAUCUUGUAUGUUUCCUCUACAUCAAUCUCCAUUUUCUGGACACCGCCUUUCAAGAAAAGAUAAAAUAUUUCAAAAACUAAUCUCGAUUUUUUGUUGCUGGCAGAAAAAUCUGGUAUAUGAUAAUCAAUAAUAUGGUUGAAGUGUCGUUUUUUCGUAUAAAAUAAACACUAGGGAAAAACAAGUAUGAAAAUAUCUAUCGAUAUAAAAUUAUUAGAAAACUCUAAAGUAUGAUUCACGCAGCAUUAUAUAUUAGCCCCAGCAAAUUAAGCUGGACAUGAACUGCAAAGGAAAGAGCAAUUAACCAUGGGGAAAGCAGUCGAGAAGCCUCACGUUAUCUGCAUCCCAUACCCUACUCAAAGUCAUAUAAGCGCAAUGCUUAAGUUGGCCAAACUUCUCCACCACAAGGGCUUUCACAUAACAUUUGUUCACACAGAAUAUAACUACAAGCGUUUGUUGAAGUCACGAGGUCCCAACUCUCUGGAUGGUUCGCCAGAUUUCAAUUUUGAGACCAUCCCAGAUGGCCUCCCCCCAUCUGAAAAUGAUGAUUGUACUCAAGAUGUUUUCCAGCUUUGUCUUUCAAUUGAAAAACAUUGCUACGGUCCUUUCGUUGAUCUAGUUAGGAAGCUCAACAAAAGGGCUUCAGUUGAUGAUGAUUAUCCUCCUGUAAGUCGUAUAAUAUCAGAUACUGUUAUGUCAACAUUCACACUUGAAGCAGCUCAAGAACUAGGACUUCCAAAUGUACUGUUUUGGACUGUCAGUGCAUUCACUGUCAUGUGCUUCUUGCACUUCCCUCAUCUUCGUGAACGAGGGUAUACACCUCUUAAAGGUAUGGAGUAUAACUUAAUUAUUGUUCAUUUCACAUGAUUUGAAUAUAUAAAACGAAAUGAGAAAAGAGUGGACACGUCUUAAUUUUUGAAUAUUUCAGCUAAUAUGGUGGCUAAUUAGGUUUGCAGAAAUAUAUGUAUGAACGAUACAACCAUGUAGUUUAGAUAAAGCAAGCUAUUGGUUAAGUCAAAUUUUGUAUGUCAUUUGAAAUUCAAGAGGCCUCUUAAGAUUUCAUAAUUUAAUAAAUGUUUUCCACUUUAUUUUCGAUUCUGAAAUUCUUUCAAAAUAUUUAGCACUUUUACCUUCCUCUUUUGUUCUUUAGCAUGUCGGACAUUCAUCUUUUUCAUUUCCCCUAACCGGUAUAAACUCAAGAAUAGUGAUCAAUUGGAAAUAGGAAAAUCUAAGUCAUCUUAAUCUAUCCAGUUUCCCCAGUUGCUAAUUUCCUUCCGUAUUCUUUUGACAUAAGAAGAUGUUGACCGGAAUUUUUUUGCCCCGUGUCAUAAAUAUGGUCAUGUUUUUCUGUUAUAAUUUACAGACGAGAGUUAUUUUACAAAUGGGUACAUGGACAACACUAUUGAUUGGAUUCCUGGAAUCACUAGCAUACGCUUAAGAGAGAUGCCAACAAUAAUCUGGACAAGUGAUCCCAAGGAUGAAUUUGUGGACUAUUUCAUAAGGCUAAUGCCAAGAACUUGCCAGGGUUCAGCCCUGAUUUUGAACACUUUUGACGAGCUAGAGCAUGGUAUUUUGAAGGAAUUUUCUUCAAUGAUGGAUCAUGUAUACACUCUUGGACCAAUUCACUUGCUUAUGAACGACAUGCUGAAAGAUGACCACUACACUGAAUCCAUCCAAUCCAAUCUAUGGAAAGAAGAUGAUACUUGCAUCGAAUGGCUGAAUUCCAAGGGGCGUGGCUCAGUUGCUUAUGUUAACUUUGGUAGCAUUACAGUAAUGACUGAAGAUCAGUUGAUUGAGUUUGCAUGGGGACUUGCUAAUAGCAUGCAAAACUUUCUGUGGAUCAUCAGGCCCGAUCUUGUUAAUGGAGGGCCAGUUGUUCUGCCGCCUGAAUUUCUGACUGCUACUAAGGAUAGAGGGAUGUUAGCAACUUGGUGUAACCAAGAACUUGUUCUUAAUCACCCAUCAAUUGCUGUAUUCUUAACACACUGUGGGUGGAAUUCUAUCCUUGAAAGCUUGUCUGCUGGAGUACCAAUGAUUUGCUGGCCAUUUUUCGGCGAUCAACAGCCUAAUUGUUUAUGCUGUUGCAAUUACUGGGAUGUUGGCGUGGAGAUAGACAGUAAUGCGAACAGAACACAGGUGGAGAAGGUGGUAAAAGAGUUAAUGGAGGAUGAAAAGGGCAAGGAGAUUAAGAAGAAGACAUUGGACUGGAAGAGUAAAGCCCAAAAAGCAAUAAAACCGGGUGGAUCUUCCUACUUAAAUCUAGACAAGAUGAUUGAAGAAGUGCUUCUGUCCCCUAAAAUUUAAAUGAUGUAUUAAACCCUUUUUUCAUUCCAUUCAAGGAACAUCAUGGUCCGUAGUUAUUCAGCAUUUCGACCAUGUACUCUUUACUUUUAUUCUUUCUUGUUUGAAGUGUGGAAAUUUUACUUAAGAAUCCAAUGCCUGUCUUUAACUACAAGUGUAUUCGCUAUUUGGUUUCAUCCUCAAUCCAACAAAAUGGAUGUCUUCAGAGGGUAGAAAGGUAAUUUAACCUUUAACAAAAUAUGACAUGAUGAUUACAUAAUGCCCUUAUAUUAAAAGAUUUUUUUUUGGUAAGAAAAAAUUUGGAUGGACUCGACUUUGGUUACCAUCAUAGGUCAGAGCAUGUUUUUGGAACUAUAAGUCAUUUACAAGAGAGUUUACAAUCGUUUAUUAAUACAGUUUUUACAUUGACAGCGGAAUUCGAACAACAACUUUUUAUGAGGAAAUGCCUCGUCAACCCAUCCUUAUUGAUCGACAAUUUCUUACAAGCGCACAGGGUUAAUCAUAGCAAUAAUUCACCUAAAAUAUUUCAGAGGCCGAACCUACAGGGAUGAGUUAAUUUUACAUACUUUAAUUAUUAUGAGAAGAAAGCAAUAAAAUUUAAAUUCAAGAGGUUUAAUAUCUAACUAUGAAAUAAAAAUAAAUAGUCAAAUUGAACAAAAUAGGGUUGAGAAAACAUUUGGCAAGAGACUAGAGCAUUAGAUCUUGAUCCAGAGUUUGAAUUAUCUGGUUAUUUCUUAACAAGUCAUGAAUGUAUGAUACUCAAGUACCUUAGAUUAUCUUUUGAUCCAUCUAAAUUGUGCCCAAUCAGAUCUCAUGUCUCUCUCGAGAUUACAAGUAUUUAGUUUGGGUGAUUUAAUUAUGUAAUACAAAUCUCAAUAUACUCUUGUGAUUAGGCUAAAUAUAUUUAUCUAUUUAGUGUAUGGUUGUAUAUCCCUUCUUAGUUCAAUACAAACCUUUUGAGCAUGUCUAUGGUGGCCAAUCACAAAUAUGUAAUUAAAUUAAAACAGAUAAAUCAAGGUAAAAGUUAAGAAUUUAAUUUAAUAAAUAAUCAAAACUUCUUCACAAGACCCUAAUCCUAAAUAAAAAUUAGUUCAUUAUAAUUGUAAGAAUAAACAAGUAUUCAAUGUUGAAAAAUACAAGACUUAGAAUAAAGAGCAUGUUUUUCACAGUUGACGUAACUCUGAAUUCCAAACCUUGAUUUCUAACUUUGAUUCUUGAAUUUUCAAAGAAAAACCUAGAACUAAUGUUCAAACAAGUGUUUUUUUCCCUAAAAACGACAUAAAGUACUCAUAUUUAUAGUUUCUUAAAGUUGUGACCUAAGUAUGAUACGAUUAGGUCUCUAAAAGUUGCCAAAAAUUGAGUUUGAGCAUAUCUCCCGAUGAAUUGGAAUGGAAAUUCUCGAUACGAUCCGAAAAUAUAACUCGAGCUUAACAUGAAAUUAGUAGGUAUGGUUUAUUUUCCACAUGUUUGGAUCAAAAUCAGGUUAGACCUGAAUAAUCCACCAAGCAAAUAGGUCCAAAUUAGGUCAAUCAUAGGACCCAUUUGACUUGUUUAAUGUGUAAUUUUAUAAUUUAAUGGAGUAAAUAAAUUGGGGAUAUAAAGUAAAUUAAAAACUAAUCUAGGCUAUCAAUCAGUAGUAUGACACAACCAUAAAUUUUAUGUGAAAAAUAGAUUCUAUUUGUGAAAACGUCACAUUUUGUUUUUAUUUAUGAUCUAUUUGUACCAAAAAAGAAAGCCAAAGAAGUACUACAAGCAGCAAUCUUGAAAUCUAGGAUUGGGUUGAAAUUUUCUAUAUUUUUAUGGAAAUUUCAUUAUAGAAAAGUCCACCAUACUAUCAAGAUGAGAAGCUCAAAGAAAGAAAAAAAAUUAAGCAAAUAAGUUAUUCAGGUCUGGUUCAGAUAACCUGCGAAAUUAACAGAUCGUAUUCAGGUCAGGAAGGUUGAUCCAUUUAAUUUUGCGGAUCGUUUUCAAGUUGAUGUGUCACUCAGGAUGUUUGAGUCUCAAUCCAAUCUGCCAACCGACAACUUGACUUAAUUGCCACCCGGACUGAUGAAGUCCGCCCCAAAGAUCCUUUCAAUGUUCAACGCUAGACAUGGAAUCUGCCCGCAGAUCCAUAUAAUCCAGUAGCCCUCAUUUGCUUCUUGCUCUGUCUUUGCUCCAUUGCUAAUUUACUCUAUUUGUUUUGUCAAAAUUGGUCCAUUUUCUUUCCAAUUGAGCUCUCCACCUAUUAAAAAAAAUAUAAGAACAAUAUUAAGUAGUUUUUAUCCAAAUUAUUAUUCAAAUAUUAUAAUUAACUAGCAACUUAUACAUAUAAAGAUAUUACAACUUAUACUUUAUUAAUUGAACCAACUACUGUUGGCCCUUAUAUUAAAAGAUGCAGGAAGCUAUAAUCAAUGCUUGUUUCACAAAAAGAAUGCUGAUUAAUUUCUUGUUGAAAUCCCUUAACAAUCAAUUAUUCACUUAAAAUCCUCUCUUCCAUUCAAUCUGCUGAAGGGAACAUCAAGAUUUGUAGUAGAUGAAUGUGGAUGCUGAUAAUGCUAGUGCUAUCAUUUCGGUGUUGGAUAACGUUUGUUCGUUCGGAACUUCAAUAAAACUCACAUAAGGUGCAAUUACCCGGAAAUGAUUAUGAAGAAUAUUUAAUUUUUAAAGCAUCGACCUUAUUAUGUGCUGCACAUCCGCAUCAUUGUCAACUUUUGUUGCUUCCAUAAAUGAACUAGCACCUUUGAACAUAAGUGUGUAUCCCCUUUUGUUAUCUUUAGUUUUUGAUUAACCUGCCUACAUGGUGAUAUUUGGCUAGACUUCAAAUUCCUAUAUCGAUCAGUUUAAAAAGGCUAGUCUUUGCUGCUACCGUUUAUGAGCUGUGGAGGGCUGGAGAAGCAGGUUGUUUUCGAAUCCAGGGCCUUGCAAAUCCCAUUUUACUCCAUUUCCAGGUAAAAUAGUCAAUUCAAAAUUUGUUACACUAUAUUCUAACUUAGUUAUAACAUAUUUAAAUUUUUAUUACUCCAUCUUCCAAUUCAGUUAUACCCAAGAAACUUGUCUGAAAUGAAAUAUAUGAGGUCUUGCCCGUGUAUUUUUCAGUCUAGGCUAGUCUCUUGUGGUAGAUUUAUGACUGCUACGGUGGAACAUCUGCAUCGCAUUGUGCUGUACGUCCUGCGGAAAGAUUUCUAAACAUAGAGAGACAUUGGAUUUAAUACUUGGUUGGAACUGAAUACUGGACAAUUUUGUGAGUAGUGUUAGUUCAUUUUGAAAUGUGCAGUUCAGGUACAUGAUUGGUUCUGUUCCUGAUUAUAAACGUUUUGCUUAUUAUCAAUGAAAAUCAUUGUUGCUCGAAAAAGAAAAAAAAAAUCAUCAAAUGUAUUCUCGCAUUAAUAGUUUAGUUAAAUGUCAUAUUUGAGGAUGGUAUUCAACAAAAUUUAACUUGCAACCUAAUAAUUUGUUACAUGUCAUUUUUAAAGAAAGAAAAAUAUCAUCAAAUGUCUAUAAAAGUUGAUUACCUACAUGUAAAAGACUCUCAAUGAUGAAUGAGAUUCAUGCAGGAUUUAUAUUCUUCAAUCAAAAUCUGGGAUCUCUAACCACAAAGAGAGUAACUAGCCAUGGAAAAUCCAAUCAAAAAGCCUCACGCAAUUUGCAACCCAUAUCCAGUUCAAAGCCAUAUUAGCGCAAUGCUGAAGUUGGCCAAACUUUUCCACCGCAAAGGCUUUCACAAAACAUUUGUUCACACAGAAUACAACUACAAACGAUUGUUGAAAUCGCGAGGUCCCAACUCUUUGGAUGGUUCAUCCGAUUUCAUUUUUGAGAUACAAAUGCAUGAUCAUAGUGCUAAAUGGUCAAUCAGAUGAUGAUCUUCCCUUGAAAAGAUGAAAUGGAAAAGGAAACUUUAAGUACAUAAAUUCAAAUUUCAGGGGACAGAAGCACUUCUCCAAUUAUCUUAUCCAGAUUCGAGUAUGAAGAUCCACCAGGUUUUACUGCUUCUUCAGCUUUGGUCUUCCACUCCAGUGCCUUCUUCUUUAUUUCCUUGCCCUUUUCUCCCUCCAUUAAGUCUCUUACCACCUUCUCCACCUCUUUUCUGUUCACAUUACUAUCUAUCUCCACGCCAACACCCCAGUAAGAGCAACAACUCAAGCAAUUAGUCUGUUGAUCUGCAAAAAAUGGCCAGCAAAUCAUAGGUACUCCAGCCGACAAGCUUUCAAGAACAGAAUUCCAUCCACAGUGUGUUAAAAAUGCACCAACUGAUGGAUGACUAAGAACGAGUUCUUGAUUACACCACGUAGCUAACAUCCCUCUAUCCUUAGAAGCAAUGAAGAAUUCGGGCGGGAGAUCGAUUGGCCCUCCAUUGACAAGAUCAGGCCUGAUUAUCCAAAGAAAGUACUGCAUGCUAUUGGCAAGUCCCAUUGCAAACUCAACCAACUGAUUUUCAGUCAUGACUGUAACGCUACCAAAGUUAACAUAAGCGACUGAGCCUGCCUUCUUGGAAUUCAGCCAUUCGAUGCAACUGUCAUCUUCUUUCCAUAGAUUUGAUUGGAUUGCUUCUGUGGAAUGGUCAUCCUUUUGCACCUCUUUGAGAAGCAAGUGAAUUGGUCCAAGAGUGUAUACAUGAUCCAUCAUGGGAGAAAAUUGCUCCAAAAUACCGUGUUCUAGCGGCUCGAAAGUGUUCAGAAUGACAGCAGCACCCUUCAAAGUCCAUGGUAUGAGCUUAACUAAAUAAUCCACAAACUCAUCCUUGGGAUCAGUAGUCCAGAUUACGGUUGGGAUGUCUUUUAAUCGGACACUACUAAUUCCAGGAAUCCAAUCAAUGGUAUUUUCCAUGUACCCAUUGGUAAAGCAACUUGCAUCUGUAAAUUAAAUAUAUAAAAAAAAGCUGUACAUUACAUACAAUUGAAACAAGAAACAUUCAAUACCUAAAAUUGAUAUCUUAAUAUGGCAAAGGAUGAAAAAUAAAAUACAAUAUUGGCCAAAACAGGAUAAAGUAAGAUGCCCUGAUUGCCCUAUAUACAUUAAUCACCGUCUUGAUUCUUGAGUUUGUCUCGGUUCAAGAAGAGAAAAUUAUUAAUGAGAAAACAGUGCCAAAUAAUUUGAUGUGCUGUAAAAUAUAAUAACUAUAAUUUGAAGUGCAUGAGAAUUGAGUGCUAAACUUUAUGUGAGCAAAGUUUGUUCAGUCUGUAUAAUCUUUUGAAGGGUAAAUUAUCUUUUACCCUCCUAUGAUUUGAUGCUUUGAACCAUAUAGGGGUUAUGUGGUAAAAUAUCAAAUUAUAUGGGAGGUAAAAGGUAACUUAUCCUUUUUUUGAGCCCCUUUGGAUUUCAAAUUACACGUGCAGUAUUUGCAUUAGUCAUGAAGCUGCUCCAUUUCUGAGUCCAAUCAUUCUAUGGUUCAUAGGAUAUUUUUCUAUUGAGUCAGUCAUUAUAUAUACUAUCUGAAUUACUGCUAAAAUAUUACCUUUAUCCAAUUUUCUCAUUGCAAGGUUGUUAUGUUAUUUUUGUAUAGAGGAAAAAAAAAACAAAAUUCUUUUUUGUACCUUUGAGUGGUGUAUACCCUCGUUCACGAAGUUGAGGAAAUUGCGAGAAACACAUGACGGUUAAUGCACUCAUGGUCCAAAACAGUACAUCUGGGAUUCCUAGUUCUUCAGCUGCCUCAACUGUGAAUGUGGACAUAACAGCAUCAGAAAUUAUACAAGUUACAGGAGGAAAUUCAUCAUCCACCGAAGCCUUAUUGUUGAGCCUUCUAAUCAGAUCAACAAAUGGGCGGUAGAAAUUUUUUGCAAUUGAAGGAAAAAGCUGGAAAACAUCUUGGGUAACAUCAUCAUUUUCAGCAGGUGGGAGGCCAUCUGGGAUGGUCUCAAACUUGAAAUCUGGUGAACCAUCCAGCGACUUGGGACCCCUUGAUUUCAGCAAACGUUUGUAGUUAUAUUCUGUGUGAACAAAUGUUAUGUAAAAGCCUUUAUGGUGGAGAAGUUUGGCCAACUUUAGCGUUGCGCCAAUAUGACUUUGAGAUGGGUAUGGGAUGCAAACAGCAUGAGGCUUCUUCACUGCUUUCUCCAUUGCCAUUUGCUCUUUGAUCAGUUUGCAGUUGAAGUCCUCUUUAAUUUGCUUGGAGAUAUAUAAUGCUCAUGUACUGUCUCUUAUUACUUUUCUAUUUAUGUACAGAGUUUCUCGUCGGUUUUCUUUCCUUUUCUUUUCUUUUUUUUUUGGUUGAAAAUGCCUUUUCAACUAAAUUAUAUGUCAAGUGCUAGAAAAUUUUUUGGGGCCCCCUUAUAUUAUGGCAAGAAGAAACCGAGAUAGGGUUUAAUUAGGAAAAUGUUUUGAUUUCUAGCAAUAGGGAAAUGAUAUACAUGAAAUUACCGCCAUAAAAAGAACUCCUUGAUAAAAGAUCAUUCAAUUAGGGAAACAAAGAUAUUGUCCCAUUUUCCUGCUGCAAAUGUUCGAUUAUAGAUAUGAGCAAUGAUAUUAGACCCAACAAUUUACAGAUAUUAUGAGCGGAGUAUGUCGAUUGGCUUGUAUACUGAAGCUACUUCAACUUGUAGCAAGUAAUCAUGUUAAUACUACAUAGUUUCUACGUAACAAUGCACUACUGUCGGUCUUAAUAUUUCUCUCGAGUGGUUAGAUGACUUACAGGGGCAGUGGAAUGGGACAAUUGGAAACUUCAGAAUUUUUACAGAAUACAAUUGUAGGACAAAAUUAUAAAUUUAAUACUCCCUCUGUCCUCUUUUAAUAGUCCUAAUUUUUUUCACACAGUUUAAGAAAAAGUAGUUAACUUUGUUGGGAAAACAAAUUUAGAUUGCUAUUUUCCUAAAAUACCUUUACAUUAAAUAAAUUUGGCUUUUCAUAUAUCAAUAUGUUUUAAAAAAUCUAAAUGCAUUAAAUGGGGUAGGCUACAUUCAAUACUAACAAUCUAUAUUAAAUAAGGUACUUUAUAGUAAUAACAACUUACAUUAAAUAAGGGUAUUUUAGAGAAAUUAAAAAACAACUACAUUUCUCGAUUGAAAUGUGGAUUACAAUUUGAAACAGACGAAAAAGGAAAACAAAAUUAUCAAAGUGGGACGGAGGGAGCAUAUAACAAACCAAUUUUAAGAAUCUUUUGAAGUUGAACUCGGUAGGUAAAAGUUUCUCCUGCUACGAUUAAGAUUUUUUCUACGCCUUUUCGUAUUAAAAAGACAUUCUCCUACAACAUAACACUUUCUGUUUUUAUAAAAAGGCAAAAUGAUAUGACACAAAUGUAAUGACAUAACAUAAAUAUAAUGGCAAAAUGCCAUGACACAAAUAUAAUGUCGGAAAAAGUAAAACAAGUAAAGGGUUACAUCUUUGUAAUACAGAUGAGCAAGAAAAAAAUUGUGCAAUAUCAAGUCGUGAUUCAUGUGUUCUUGGCUGUUUAAUCAAGCCAUUGAACAACGAUAGUAAUUACGCCCAACAAAAAGAAACUCAAGCCUUUGGAAUCCCUAUCGCCCGAUAAGCCCACCAACUUCCUGCCAAUAAUAAAAAGCAUCUUAGAGCCAGCAGAAGUGCAGACCCCUCCAAGCUACCCUAAUUAUGAUGGAAAAGGCCCUUCAUGAUGGAUGGUUGUCUUUUGUCUCUAAUUCUUUAAAGUUGUUUGAUGACAUUUCGCCUUGUACUGCAGCUGGACAAAUAGAAGCUGGCAGUUUGAACAAACUACGAGCUCGUUUGAAUUUUAGGUUUUUGGAAGUUUUAUAAAAAAAAUAUACAGUAAAGAUGUAAUGUAUGUGAAACAAAAAUAUAACUAAGAAAUGUGUUAAAAUUUUUUUUUUUUUUACGAGACUUACAAUUCAAACAAGAUCUAGCUCUUAGACAAUUGGUGUCUUGCAAAAGGCAAAUUAAAGGUCGUGGAAAGCAGCAAAAGUCUACAAUCCGCCUAAUUGACACCAAUGAGUAAAAUCUCCUUAUACUUCAAGGCCCUAUAGUAACAAAAAAGAGUGUGCUAAACAAUUCGUAGGAGUAGAAACUGCAGCAAAUAAGAAAUUGUAGCCUUCGAAAUAAGAGUUGGCUAAGCGUGAAUACACCAUGAAGUUACAAAAAUUGUACCUAUGAGUCAACCCCUAAAGCGAAAUAAGCACAACAAAAGAGCAAUAGACUAGAACUAGCUUACAAAAAUGAAAUGGUCCCUAUGUAACUAGUCAUCCACCUUAACUCCCUUUAGUGGAGUUGGCCACCGCCUUUAGUGUGGGGUGAGAAGUCAAGGGUUCAAUCCUUGCCUCCAAUCAAAAAGUUGUCUCUUAAUGUGGCUUUGCUUAAAAUUCAUGUGGAUACUUUGCACCCGUAUGAUCCGAUGGUACCAUCGGUUUCCUGACCCUGUUGGGUCACCCCCCUCCCCCCUAGUAUAGGCUAGAUUAGGAUUAGAAGUAGGUCUAGAUAUAGAUGAUGAUAAGUGACAAAAAAAAAAAAAUGCCAUCCAUGAUAUCAAAUAAAUUAUUUUUGCCUUGGGUAAAUUUACUAAGGUCUAUGGUCACAACGAUCCUCCCAUUCAACUACUUUGGCCAUAUUGCCCCACCCACGUGCAAUGGGUUUCAAAGAUAAAAAUCUUUUAUCUAUUUUUUUAUAAACUCAUCUAGAUAACUCAAUAUGGGGAGUUUGACCAUCUGUUUUUCUUUUUUUUUUUCUUUCUUUUUCCUCAUUUUCUUUGAAAUUUCUCCUAUGUUUGUGAUGGAGAAUUUUCAAAACAAUGAAUCACAACGUCGUUUUUAUUGUUGUGUGUGCCGAAAUAUCAUGGAUGAGUGAAUGAAUGUGUCUCAUCAUGAACAGACACGAAUAUUCCUAUGAAUUUGCCAAUCAUACGAGUUGUAGAGGGAUUGGAUGAUGAAAUUAUGAUUCCAAUAAUCUUCUUGUUUCUCUUAGAAGAAAACACAAACUGUUGAACGCUUUUAGUAGAUUAAUUUUUGUUACUGUAAAAGGCAAUCAAUGAUCAAGCUCUUAGACACUUUCACACACAGAAGAUUAUGUAGAAUGGCCGCGUGAUCCCAUCCGGUUGCAUUACCCGAUGUACAAUCACUUCAUGUUAUUGUACUUGUAAAAAAAGUAAUUGUCAUGAAUAAAAUACUUCAUGCAUAUUUAAUACAAUAUUGUAAUAUAAUUGUACACAAACAAUUAAACAUGUAUAAUAAUCGGACCUAAUCAUACACAACACAGUAGCACCCGCCCUUGGUCGCAAAUUAAACCUUUUUGGAGAAAAUGCAUCUUGAGGUAAUGCGAUGUGCUCUAAAAUUUUUGGCCUAAAAUUUAAGGAUUGUUGGCAAUCAUACGAACUAAAUGUGUGCGAUAAUAGCAUGCCACGGCUUAUAAUUUAAUAGUGGAACAUGUUAAAUUGCUCGUCAAUCAAGUCUUAAAGUGAAUUUUUGUGCAAAAGAUCAUUAAUCACGACUUGACUUUACAACCAGAGUUUGUAAAGAUUUUUUUUUUUUUUUUUAAAAAGGUAGAAACUCAAGAUUCACGACUAAAUUGAACCAAAGAAUUGGACAUGUUACUUAAACAUUAUAAUUGACCCCAACAUUUUCGUUUAAUUAGAAUCAUUUGUUUAUGUCAGGUGUGAUGUGAGGUACGUACCUCAUUUUUUUUCUUUCUUUUUUAUCUGUUGUAGAUAAUAUCCUUUCACAAUUGCCUAGUGAUAGAAUUAUGAUGUAUCAUGCAUGCAUGGGAUGUCAAUGAUCGACUAAAAUAUUAAUAUAUUUAAGGCCGAUAGGCAACAGGUUUUGACAACUCUCUCUUACUCUUUUUGAGGGUUUUAUUUAAUCAGACAAUACCAACUUCGAUAAGUAAAUCUAGCAAUUAAUUUACAAGUCAAUUGCAUAUAUAUGAAGUUAGCAGUCUAUAAGAUUACAGAGAUUAUUGGGGAAGGAUUGGAUUAAAAUUUAAAGGGAAAUUUGCCAAAUUGGUCCCUAACAUUUACCAAAAACACUUUUUUAGUCCUUAACAUAUAAAAUCAGCCAAAAUGAUCCUUCACAUUUAAAUUAUGAGCCAAUUUGGUCCUAUUGCUCGUUUUUACUCAUUUCUCCGGCUAAAAAUAGCACGUCCCCCUCAUGUAGUCAUAUUUUUAGGGGCAAAACCGGCAAAUACAUUUCAUUACCGGUUGAAGGUAAAAGGAUAGGGGACCACCACCAAAAUACACAUUUCACCUUUGGCCCUCAAAUUACAGUUUGAAGAAACCCUAAUUGCAUCCCCAAAUUAACAAGCAUAACUUGGAAAUGUACUGCCGAUGAUGACGACGACAAACCUGUAGGGUGUGAUUGAGAAAAGAUUGAAGGUUUGGCCAAAAAAAUCGUGAAGAAAAUUAAGAGGGCAUGUACACACACACACACACACACACAGACACAAACAAGAUGCAAUGACGAUUCUGACCUUUCACAAAAAGCGGUAGCAUCGCCGUUCGGAAACCAUUCUUGUGGAAGUAGAAAACCAGCUCCAGUCGCCAACCCAGCAGAAGGGGGGUUGCAGAAUCUGGAACAAGACUGGACAUAAAUCGUGACGGUGCUUGUUUUGUGAGGUAGGGGGCAUGGAGUGGGAGGCAGACCAGAAAGAAUUGAAAGAAGCCGGAGCGGAGUUGCUGCCGGACGGGCGGGUUGGACUUCGGAUACAUGGAUGGGAGAUCGAGUCUUCCAAAGCUUCCAUCCUCAAAUCCCUCCAGCGCCAAGAGUAACUACCUCUCUCUAUCUCUUCUUCCCCUUCCCCCAACCAACAAAAACUCAGAUGCCUCACCCUACCCCCCUCCCCAAGUAUUACAACUAUUUUGUAAGUAUCUGAUUGCAGGUUUCCAAGAAGUCACAAUGAUGGGUUCCUUUCCACAAAGACAUCGCUCGUUUGGAUCCAUUUUACUCUUCAAAGGUCAGCUUCUUCUUCCCAAUUUCUUGCUAUUGUAUUUUCCCUCUUCAAUUUCAUGGGUUAGUGAGGUGAUUAGAUGAAGGAAAGAUGGCUUCUUUCGACCGGUAAUGAAAUGUGUUUCCAGUUUUGCCCCUAAAAAUAUGACCACGUGAGAGGGGCAUGCUAUUUUUAGCCGGAGAAAUGAGCAAAAACGAGCAAUAGGACCAAAUUGGCUCAUAAUUUAAAUGUGAAGGAUCAUUUUGACUGAUUUUAUAUGUUAAGGACUAAAAAAGUGUUUUUGGUAAAUGUUAGGGACCAAUUUGAAAAAUUUUCCAAAUUUAAAUGAUAAUAUGGGAGGAAUUAUAGGUAAGAGGUCCUGAAUUCAAAACUUCUCACCUAUAAAAAAAAAAAAAGAAUUAGAAAUAUUUGGAUACUGUAUUCUCGAUAAACACUAGCUAUCAAGACUUCACUUAAUGGAGAAAAUAAUAGAACUGGAGGCCUAAAAAUUAAAGAUCUUGGGUUAUAGUGCCACCAUGCUUAGUUGUAACCUAACAACUUUUUAGGAACAAAAACUCAGUGCAAUUGUGCUUUGUGAUUCCGUCUAGUGGUUGUACAUGUUUAAAUUUUGUGUACAAAUAUAUUAUAAUGUUGUAGUGAAUAUAUGUUAAAUAUUUUAUUCAUGUACACUAUUUUUAUUCUAAAUAUAAUAAUAUAAUGUAAUUAUACUCCAAAUAAUGUAAAAAGUAUAAUUAUACCAAACCCCAACCGAACUGACCCCUCGCCCACUUUUUAGUACUAGUCACACCUUUUUUUGGGGGCUUGUGGUGUUAGUAUUAGUACCCAUUCCUUCUUGGCUAGUGGAGCCGAUAUAUCUGGAUGCUUGAAAUUUAUUACCAGAAACAAAUGAGAAUUUAAAACAAAGAGAAAAUUAUUUAAAAUGUCUCUCACAUUUUAUCAAAUCAAUUUUUUCGUCAUUCACUUUUAAAAUAGUAAUUUUAGAUUACUUACAAAAUCAAAUCGAUAAAAUUUAGUUUCAACCUAGGCUUUCAAUUGCUUUGUAUCCUGAAUCCAUCACCUGACCUAUACAUACUCAUUUUUAUAGGGGCAAAAAAGUUAAAUCCCAUUUAUAGCUAAACAAAUAGCCCUACCCAUAGUCAUUUUUCUUCUAAAAAUGUAGGACAUAACCCAAACCAUAUUCAUUGUUUCUUCUAAAAAAGUGAGAUUUGACAUAAUUCAUAUUCAUUUUGCCACUAAAAAAGUGGGAUCUAACCAUUUUAUAUAUAAAGAAUGACUACAAGUUGAUCACGUAGUGAUUUCAGGUUUAAAAAUGAUUGAAAAUUUAGGUUGGGACUAAAAUGAUUGAAAAUUUAAGUUGGGACUAAAAUUUGCUAACUUAAAUUUGUAAGGGACACAUAAUUAACUUUUUAAAAGUACAUAACGAAAAAUCUAUUUGGCGAAAUGCGAGAGAUGUUUGAAUAAUUUUCCCUAAACCAAAAUAUCUAAUUUUCCAUAAUUCUUUUUAAGUGUAAGUGAGAGGGAUCGAGCCCCCUAAUUUGAUUAGUCACUUAAAACUGUCGCUUCCCUUCAAUUUAUUAGAGGAACAUUAAUUUGUAGCGGAUGAAUAGAAUUAUGACCGAGGGUGUUCAUAUUGGACGUUUAUGGUUUGUUCUUUUGAUAUCGGAAAUAAUUGUGAGAAGUACUUUGGUGAUUUCUUGAUUUCCAUAAGUAUCAACCUUGUUUUGCUUCAAAGCUUACAUUGUUUUCAAGUUUGGAUCUUCUAUGGAUGAAUAGUCACAUUUAAACGGAUACCAAUAUUGAAAAUCCUUUUAGCGCCAGCAAUCAUCUUAAUUUUGCAAUAAUUUACAUUAAGAGAGAACCCAACUGAAUCAUGUGAAAGUUGGAGAGAACUCUUCUGCAAUCUAAUAUGUAAUAUCACUACAAGAAAUUUGGCUUGUUAUGACGCCAAAAAUGGGCCGCAAAAAGUCCAAAAAGCGCCGCAAAAAAGUAUUUGCAACACUUUUGCGACACAAGUCCUUUGUGGCUCAAAAGUAGCCGUUACAAAAGAAAACAGCAGUAUUUUGCGAAGCGCCACAAGUAUUUACGACACAUAUUUGUGCCACAAAUGUGCACGAGGCACAAAAAUUUGCGUCACAAAAAGUUCAUGCAGCACAAAAUUUUGCACUGCAAAAGGUCUCUUUCAAGAUGAUAGAUGCACGGUAGUGUUUUACCAUUUUUAAUUAUUUUUUUGAAUUAUUUUUCAUGCUUUGAAUACCUUGCCCAUUCCUGUAUGUAAUUCAAUUCACCAUUUAAAUGGAAACAAUCCGCUCACCAUUUAAAUGGAAAUUAUCGCCGCAAAUUUUCAAAUUAAAAUUUCAUAUUCAUCAUCAUAAUCAAUUCUAAAAGGUACAAAUAGUUCCUAAUUUCUAAUUUCAACCAAUUUUGCAUAAGUCAUUACAUUUCAAUAUGAUUAUACCACGUUAUAACAAUUUUCGAUAUAAUCCAAGAAAAAACAUGCAUUUGUCAUUCCAAAUGAUUGAUUCCAACAGGUCAAUACAAUGUCUCUAAUCUCCUGCAACAAAACAAAAACAUUUAUUGUUAGUAAAACAAAUCAAUUCUGCAUUGCAUUAUCAAAGCAUUAAUUUCAACCGUCUCAAGCAUCUCCAUGGGAACAAGUAGUUAAGUCCUAUAUCAUUAUUUUAAGACUAUCAUAUUGUUCUAAUGACUCAAAGAAUUGAAGCCAAAUCACAUGUCAUGGCCACUCAUGCACUCAUACCUGUAAACAUGCAGUAUUAAUACCGAAGUCAAAGCUCCCGGUUCACUUCCUAGUGUUCCCUAUCAGAUCAAAUUUUCAUUUUGCUAAAACAUUCCCUAUCAAAUCAAAUGCACAACCACCAGAUUUUGGUUUCAAACAUGAGCCUGUAAUGCAGAAAUGAAAGUAAGAAUAAAGGUUGAACUCAAUUUAUAACAGAGUGACGAAUGCAAGCGAACAAAAGCAAAUCAAACCUCUUGACAGUCUCCAAGGGGCAUCACGAUAGAAAACGUUACAUCAGCAUAGGAUGACGUGGAAACUGCAAGCUUAAUAAAAGAAUAACAACCUGGACAUAAGUUUAGGAGCUAAUGCAGUCUACGUACCAUAUUCAUCAACAGGAGCAUAAAAAUAAUAGCCAGUGGCAAGUCUUUAAAUGGACGGUAAGAAUUGCAUCUUAGAAUUCAAUAAACCUGCACAAAAAAAAAGGAGAUAAGUAAUUUUCUUGUUACAAAACUUCAAGAAUUCUGUCAAACCAUCCAGGAGAAAGUAUGCAAUAUAUUACCAGCUAGUCCAGACUAACAUUCACAUCUUCAGUUUUUAAGGCUUCCUCGGGGGGAAGUGAAGGUCAUUGCAAGUAUUAAUCUGGGUACAAGUAACACAGGCAUUAACAAAAACUCUUACAAUUAAAGUUGAUCACAAUUGCCAAGAGUAGUAAUAUAUAUUCGGUAAUAAGGAAUCUUCUUCUAAGAUAAACUGAAGGUUAUAAUGAGAACCCCAACCAUUGAAUGAUUAUAUUUGUAGUCAAGGAAGAAAAUAGGAAAAAAUCCAUUGUCUGUUAUUGUUGCUUGGAUGGUUUUUACCAUUCCGAGCAUUUAAUCUCUUGUAUGAAUCGGCUGAAAUGCAAGCUAAGUCCAUCAUCUGUAGCCAAGAACCAACAAAACAUUACCCUUCAUGAACUAUCCCACUAGCACAGCAAACUAACAUGUUUAAUACUCCCAGAAUUAUAUUCAUGUAGAAACAAAAGACAGGAGAAAAAAUGACCAGGACAAGACCAGAACAAACAUCCUAGGCGAUCCCGAGCUCGGUUUCACUCCCUCCAUCCUAUUUUGAUAACUGUGAGCCUUUUAUAAACAGUAGAAGAUAGUUAUGUAUUGUGCAUAAUUGUAUGAUUUUGCCCAUAUUAGAAUUUAGUAACAAGUUUAAUUGGGCUUCCUUUCUCUAUAGGAUAAGAGUAAGGCACCGUUUGUGUUGAAGGAAUGGGAGGAAAAUGAAAGAAAAGGAAUUAGAGGGAUUUGAUUUUUGUUGUUUGGAUUGAUUUUUUGAGGAGGGAAAGGGAAGGAUAAAGAGGGAAAGGGAUGGAUAGGGUCUAGUUAUUUUAUUGAAUUAUGAGUUUUGCCGUCAAAUGGAUGAAAACGGAGGGAAGUGAAAUUAAAUUAAUUGAAAUAAUUUACAUUUUUUAAAGGGUUAUUAUCACUUUAUCCCCCCUAACUAUAUCACUACUUUCAAUUUACCACAUAACGUUAUCUUUUAGUCACUUUACUCCCAUAAGUAAUUCAACUCAACAUGUUAAGAAAUUUUUGACAAAAAUACCCUUUUAUUUUAUAGCAUUACUAUAUUGUUAUUAUCACUUUAUUCGAUUGGAUUAUAGUGAUACAAUCACUUUAGUUCUUAACAGUAUUUUCUAGGUAUUUUACCUCAUCAUUAAUCUAACUAGUAUGGUCAAAAAAUUUUAAAUAUAUUUACCCUUUUUUUAUAUAUAAUUAAAAAUAAAAAAGUUGUAAUGGCUAUUCUUUCUUUUUUUUUUACUUUAAGAGAUCGGAAAACAUAAAAAUAAACUUUCUCAACUUUCUUUUUUUCACACUUAUUAAUACUAGGAAAAGAAAAAGAGAUAGGAAAAAAGGAGACAAAAAAUUAGAUUUUACAAAAAAAAGGAAAUAAAGAAAAGCCUAGAAUUAUUGUAUUACUUUAAGGUUGUCGGGAUUAGAAUUGGAAUUUGGUUGUAAACAAAAAAGUAAAAUAAUUUUAAAAUAAUAAAAGUAUUUAAUUAUUUCUUAUUUGUAAUUUUUAAAAAAAAGAAUUGAGUUCUCUCUCUUCCCCUCCCCCUCUCCAUCUUUCUAUUUUUUUUCAAUAUUAAUAAGAUUGCCAAGAUGAAAGAAAUUAAUACUUUGACUUUUUUUCUUGAUACUAAAAGGAGAAGAGUCACUCUAAAUUUUUUAUUAUUUUUAUUAUGCAAAGAGGAAGAUAUUUUCUUCUAAAGUUUUUUAACUUGCUAAGUUGGUUUAAUGGUAGGAUAAAUUGCUUAAAAAUAACUCUAGGGGGUAAAUUGAUAAUGAGACUAUAUUUUAUGGGGGGUAAAGUGAUAAUAAUUUUAAGGGUUAAACAUAUCUUUUCACUUUAAUUAACAAACUCCGUUAAGUUUGACCGUUAGUUUUGGGGGUAAAGUGAUUAAAAGAUAACGUUAAGAGGGGAAUUGAUAGUAACACCGAACGUUAAAAGGGUAAAGUAAUAAUAACCUUUUUUUUUUUCAAUUCAGUAACAGUUGAUCUUUUCCUUUCCUUUUUUUUUUCUUCCUCAAUCUAAACAAAAUUCAGUAUUUCUUUUUUUUUUUUCCUUCCAUAUUUUAGCCAAACAAGAUGGACGAAAAUCAUCUUCCUCUACUGUCCUUUCUUUUCUCUUCCACCGGUAUCCUUUCCUUUCCUUCCUCUUCCUUUCCUUCAAUCAAAAUGGUGCCCAAAGUAGAUUUUCGACAUUAGAUAUGAAAAAAAUAUAACAAUGCACCGACAAUUUACACUGCUUCUCAUGAUGAAGUUAUAUUUGAUUAAACGUACUACUGCAUUUAUGGACGGGGAAAAGCAUUGAAAUUAAUGAGGAUAUGAUGCAGAAUAUGGUUGAGGCAGACUUACAGAUAUUAAAUGCGAAAUUAAAUCUUUUAUUUCUUUCAAUCCCGUUGUACUUAUACGUAAUUUUCCAAAAUUUAAAUACGGAUGCAUGGAAAAGAUGAAAUGGAAAAACACUGAUCAACGACAAACACUGAUAAUCCCUUGAAUAGAUGAAAUGGAAAAGAUGGUUUAAGUAAAUAACUUAAAUUUUAGGGGCCAGAAGCACUUCUUCAAUCAUCUUAUCCAGAUUCAAGUAGGAAGAUCCACCAUGUUUUAUUGCUUCUUCAGCUUUGUUCUUCCACUCCAAUGUCUUCUUCUUGAUUUCCUUGCCCUUUUCUCCCUCCAUUAAGUCUCUUACCACAUUCUCCACCUCUUUUCUGUUC